RNAcentral lists this long non-coding RNA (77008 nucleotides) under Linum usitatissimum (flax). RNAcentral's name for it is "long non-coding RNA (LUSI_LNC004557)". Lineage: Eukaryota; Viridiplantae; Streptophyta; Magnoliopsida; Malpighiales; Linaceae. The record is from RNAcentral.
UGUGUUUCUACUGGUUUCCUCAUUUCAAUGUAUUGUAGUAAGAAAGGUAAAAAGUAGAAAGUAAACAAGACCGUCAAAAUUAAAUACAAACUUAGAAAAUUACAGCAUGGCCAUUGUUCCAAGUUAAACAUAUAUAGGCACAUAAACUUCCUUUUAUUUUGUCUCCGAAACAAAAAGAAAAAAGAAAAAAGGGGAAAUGAAUGAUCAUCAUAUAGUCUCAUAUGUAUAUAUGAAAGCACAGUUUCGACUGUGUUCGAUCCAAGAGAUUAACAUUCCAAGAUAAAAAGAGUACGUACGUAAGCUAAGUAGCUAGCUAGCUAGCUUGCUUACUCCCAGUUGGCGGCGACGAUGUCAGCAAGGUCAACCACCCUCUGCGAGUACCCCCACUCGUUAUCAUACCACGCGAUCACCUUCACCAUGUCAUCCCCCAUCACCAUCGUCAACGACGAGUCCACCGUCGAUGACACAUCUGUGCACCUGAAAUCCACCGACACCAGCGGCUCAUCGCACACCGACAAUAUCCCCUUGAGCUCGUUGUCCGCGCUCUCCCUGAACGCAGCGUUGACCUCCUCUGCAAACGUCUUCUUCGACACUUGCACCACCAGGUCAACCACCGAGACAUUCGGGGUGGGGACACGGAGGGCAAUGCCGUUGAGCUUGCCCUUCAAGGAUGGGAGCACCAGGGCCACUGCCUUGGCUGCUCCUGUGGACGUAGGGACGAUGUUGAGGGCAGCAGCCCUCGCACGCCUGAGGUCCCUGUGACUGGCAUCUAGGAGACGCUGGUCGCCUGUGUAGGAGUGGGUGGUGGUCAUGGUUCCCUUGAUGAUCCCGAAUUUCUGGUCGAGGACCUUGACGAAGGGGGCCAGGCAGUUGGUCGUGCAGGAUGCGUUGCUGAUGAUGGUGUCGGCGUGGGUGUAACCGUCGGCAUUGACUCCGACGACGUAGGUAGGGAUGUCACCCUUGCCCGGUGCGGUGAUGAGUACCUUCUUGGCUCCGGCGGUGAUGUGUUUUCCAGCUCCUUCUCUGUCCACAAAUACUCCGGUGCCUUCUAUCACUAGGUCUAUCUCCAACUCCCUGCCAGUCAUUUUGAAACCAUCAUUAGUUUUUUUCAAUUAAGGCCUAUAUUAAUGGUAACUAUCUGUCCCACAAGUUGAAAACCUCUUCGAUUUGAAUCAGUUUCACAUCAUUGUUUAUUUAAUAACGAAGAAUUCUUUCAACAAACACUACAUUUAGUGAUGUUAUUGUUUGACAAAUUCAGAAUCUACCAACCAUCAAUCCAAUUACCCAAAUAAGAUCGAUGAUGUCAUAUGAUAUAUAUAAAGCGAAAUGGUUGCACAUUCUUGAUUUUGAGCUCAAGAUCUCUAAACACAAAGUCAAGCAUUACAACGUAUAAUCACUUGAUUACAACUUGUUUGAAAAAUAAGUUUCUCAUCAUUGUUAACGGUUUAGUGGUUAAAAGUUAUUGAUUACUGAAUUUCACUUGGAUGACGGAUGUCACUUACAUUAUCUGUAAUAACCACUGUACAAAUUCGGUCACCAGAUGGGGAUCUGUAGUCGCGGAUAAUAUCCAUCCAAUUAGAUACUACGUGGGAUAUUAUUGUACCUAGUAGUAUCAUGACAUGGGUGGUAAGUGGACCUAACAUCCAAGUCAUUAUACUACAAACAUCUCAAGUACCAUCUGCCUUAGCAACCAAUUCAUUCAAAAUCAGCUCUAAGAAGGAAAAUACACACAAGGCAGGGGAGAUGAGAGGGUAUAUAUAGAUUACUUACUUCCACGGGAGGUCGAGGGGGUUGCGGCUGGAGACGACCUUGAUGACUUUGCCGUCGACGGAAAUGCCGUUGUCGCCGACAGGCUUGACGUCGGCGUCGAAGAUGCCGAGGGUGGAGUCAUACUUAAGGAGGUGGGAAGCCUGCUUGACGCCACCGGUGUCGUUGAUGGCAAUGAGUUCAAGUGGGGAGUCUUUCCUGCCGUGCCAGCACCUCAAGAAGUUCCUUCCGAUUCUUCCGAACCCAUUUAUCGCCACUUUCAGCUUCGCCUCCGUCACCAAUCUCCUGUAUCCCCCACUCCCGCUGUUUCUGACCUGAUGGAUGACAGGGACAAAUGGAUUAAGAAACAGAGUAUAUUAUGAAGAAAACAGAGUAUAUAUAUAGGUGCUAGGGAAGCUUAAUUACAGCAGAGGUCUGGUAGUGGUAAGAAAGGGCUGACAUAAAGUCAUCGGAGGAAGUUCUCCUGCCGAAUGGUGAGCUGCGGAGGCUUGAGAGUUCUGCCACUCCCUUCCCGUUUCCCUGGAAACCUCCAAUUUUGGGGAUUUAAAGUUCAUAUCAGAAGCAUAUAUAUACUCGAAUUAAUAUAUACAAAUUAAGACUAUAUUAUAAUAAUAAUAAUAAGAAGAAGAAGAACAUGAUUAGAUUAAUGAGGUUAUGAGUGACGAUGAGUAGAGAACAAAGGUAUUACCCGAAGAGAUGGUUUGGCUACAGCAAAAGUAGCCGAAGCCAUUACUGAUAAUAAUAUAACAGAGUGAGUGAAGCAGGGAGAUAGGAAAAGAGACAGAGAGGAAAGGAGAAUGUGGGAUAAGAUCUUGUGUGGAAACUUAUAAGAGACAAGUGAUGAUGGGUUUGUUGAUGAAAACAGAAGAGAGAGAGAGGGUUUAAGUUUCAGUGGUGAAUAAUAAUAGUAAUCGGAGGAGGAGGGAGUUUGGAUGAGAUUUUGGAUAGAGCUCCCUUUCAGUGUAUGGCUGUGGCUGCUUCUUCUCCUAUCUAUCUAUGUUUCUCCCCUCCCUACCCUCUGCCCUUCUGUAUCACAAUCUCCUUUCUCCUCUUGUUUUCUUUAUUUUCUUGCUUAUUUUUUGUUCCUUUUAUGUUAUCAUCACUCCCGUAUCUAACUUCAGGCUCAACGGAAUUACCCCCACUGAUAUACUUCUAUCCAGUUGUGUGUGUGGUGGCAUUAUACUGUUCAUCAUCGAUAUAUAACAUUAAUCAAACUAUUCUUUCAUCAAGUGACCACAACAGAUGUUGUGUGUAUUAUUACCAAGUAGCCACCUCCUAUAAAUGACUUGUCAUUCCGACCGGAGUUUGUUUUUGAUGCUUUAUAAUGUUCAGUUUGAUAGUAGGAAUGUGGAGUGGAAUCUUGAUUACUUUCUCAUUUCAGCGGAGAACUUAAAUCUCAACGAAAUGCAUUUUGAAAGCUAACUUUCUCAUUCUCAUCCAAAAUUAGUUUGUCUUAACAAUACUUCCGAGUCUACAUAUUCAUAUAAAGUAACUGAACUUCUGUAGAGUCGUAAAAUGUAAUGUUAAACCAUGAAAUAUGAUAAAUUAUGAUUUCACUUUUAAGUUGAGUGGAUAAAUUGUAGCAAAUUAACGUUAAUGAUUCAAUUAAUUUUAAUAGAUCUGAACCAGUUAAAUGGGUGGUUUAACUUGAAAAUUGGGCCGGACCAUCCGGUCCAAGCCCAAGCAACAUACUAGUUACGAAACAGAACGACCCCUAACUUUUUCCCUUUCUUCCUCUGAUGAGCUGGUCCCCCGUCGGCCGUCGAAUUGCUGCCUCUUCCCGUCCGCCGUCGAUUGCAGGCUUACUGCUUCUUCCUCCCAUUGGACCUUUCCAUUCAGAAUGAAUCCAGUUUCUUGGAUGCCGAUGUUACAUGUCCGAUCAUUCAACAGUGGAGACCAAACAAAGAAUAUGUAGUACUAGUAGUAUUGGGGAAUUAGUUAGUCACGUACUAGUAGGGCGAAUGACAGUUGUGGAGAUUGAAGGAGCAGAUGCGUUUGCUGUAGUAGUAGUAGUUGUUAUUGUAGAAAGUACCAUUAUCAUCAUCACCAUGAAUAUUGCUGCUACUGCAUUAUUCUUCUUCCUGCUCACCGCCAUUUCCCCCCAGGUGAAGUUGCUAUUUUAUAUUAAAACGGUUUGCAUGCAUGUGUAUGUAUAGAUAGUAAACGGUCGACAGUGUUUCUUUCAAAUUUUUUUCCAAUGGCGUACGUUGGAGCAUCCGUAUAGGAAUUAGAGAAUCUAAGCUCCGGGUGGGGAUGAGUUAAAAGAGUUGGACGAUGAUUUCUAUAUUUAAUUCUGGUUUUGUAUAUUGUUUGUUAUCAUCGAUUCGAUUUUAUUUAUUUGUCAUUCACUCCUUACUGUCAUCUUUAUAGAGGAUCCAUUGCUGUUCUGACUUCUCAUCAUAAUUAAGUUUGCUGUGGUCGACAUUAUAAUAAACUGCAUAUGAUGUACAUGUAGACAGUAACUACAAUUAUCAUUCCAAUGUAAUGUAGAUUUGGAUACAACAAUGACCAUCAUUUCUACUUUAAAGACAAUCAUUUGUUACGUCUAAGCACAAUAGAACCUUUGAGGUAGCAAUUAUUGUCGUUGAGGUAUGGGUCGUUGUUGCUCCAAAUCCACAUCAUGUUGGAGCUACAACAUGACAUAAGAUGAGACGUAGUAAUGACAUUGAAUGAUAUGACCAUUGUAAUUUAGGAAUGACACAUCAUAACGUAAAAAUAACGUCUCAUUGCAUCAUGUCAGGAUGUAAUUAUGAAUGACAUCUCGUAACAUUGUUAUCUUCCACCACCGUUCCCAAGUUUCAGUGCCUUAACUUAAGCCUAUCGAGAUGAAAUCGCAAAACUAACAUUACAAUCUCGUAACAAAUUGAAGCGUUUGGAAUUUCCAACUUUUGGAGUUUCCAACUUUUGGAGUUAUGAAUUGACAACGGUUAGAAUGAGGCUUCCUUCCUUUCUUUUCAGCCGUACGUACCACCACCCGCACAUAACAUUGCCUUUUCAAGGUUCAUUUCCUUCUGCCUACAACUAAACCCUAUUUUUCACAUAAUAACUGUACAAAUGAGGGCGACCACAAUAAAAAACCAGAAAGGAAAUGUAACAAACAAUGGCUAUGGUUCAUAAAAAAUUAGACAGCCACCCGAAACUUGCAUGUUCAGAUUUGGGGCAGGGAACAUCGAUGACUGUCCGCAAAUUCUCGAAUAACACGCUUGAGGACUCUUCCCCCUUUCCCUUGCAUAUGUGCAUAACUGUUAUUACCACCAUUGCAGAUGCUCUUGCUCUCCAGAUAUCCGGUUGCAGCCCCAGAGAGGGCCUCCACCCAAACUGGAACCAAUGUAGCAUCUUCUCCUGCCUUUAGAUAUUCCACUGGAAGAGCUUGCACCUGUUCUCACCCACACCCAACCAACCAAUAUUAUGCUUCAAAUAUCAAAACAGACACGAGACGAGACUACAAAAUGCUAAUAAUGUAAGGUUCAGAGAGAGAAACGGACUGCAGCUUGUAGCCAUCCUUGCAAUGAGUCCCAACGGAGCAUCGAAUUCCAAAUUGUUCCAUCACAGAACCUGCAAAUUGCAGCCAACUGUUGCAACACUGUUGCACACUUGUGAACCUAUUCAAUGUAGGAAUCAUCAACAGUUAGUACCACUGUGACUGUAUAGUCGGUAACCAAAACAAAAAAUGAGGCGAGCUAAUGGAGCUUGACAGAGCCCCGAGAACCGAAGACUUUAAGAAUAGUUAACACACGCUUUUCCAUUUUGGUACAACUAACAGAACAGAGAUGCUAGAGGCACGACUUUGUGAUGAUAAACUUACCCGAGACAUUGCUGAAACACCAAGCAAAGCAUAUACGAUAUUUGAUACUAGCCCUUCACCACUACGUGAGAUGAGCUGAAUUGUGAUGCAAUUAAAUGAUUCCUCAGGAAUUGAGUUAAUUGGUUCUAGCAGAAAGGCAAGGCUCACGUCCAAUAAACCUACACAAACAGCUUCAUCAAUAAGAGGAAAUAACUUUUACUUUUAUAUGAAAAAAUUAACCAAGAGAUUGCAAAUAGAAUGAAAGGCCUAACUCAGAAAAGACAACUACAAUAAAUUGACGCAGAUCGCUGUCCUCUAUAUUUUGCACGGUCAAUUCAAUCUCAGAAGAGCAACAGUUAUGGAGGUUGCACUUACAUGAUAAAUAUGAGAUCGCAGCUAAAGCUGCUCCCCGGUGCAUGGCUGUGCAACAUAUAGCGGCCUUUUGGAACGAAAUUUCCAGGAUUGGGCCAGAUUGAGCUAAAACUUGCUGGAAUUUAGCAGACAGCAAGCACAAGUCAUUCAAAUUAAUUAUUCAGUCUCAAGAUUGCAUAAGGCUCUUUAACCUACGUCAUCUAAUACAAGUUAGGUGAAACUAAAUGGAGAUAAAUUUAGAGAAUGAUAGAAACCUUAGUACAGCUUCGGACAAAUGUGGAUGCAAAAUUUGCAUAAGCUUCCACCAAAUCAGGCUCUUGGUCACAUAUAUAUGAAGAAUUCAGACCCAUAACUGAUGCUGCUUGGGUAAAUCUUUCAAAUGUUUUGACAAACAGAGGACCAUAUUCCUCCACAUGGUUGAAUUCUUCGACAACAAUGGAAGCUGCAUAAUGGAAUUGCACACAAAGCAGCCAAAUGACGAAGUGAGCCAUCCAGAAUGCAGAAACAAUACAUUCCAAUUGAAAAGGUACGCAGAAUAGCUUUUCUUUGUUUACCAUUUUGACUCUGUUAAACCUAAGCGCAAUCAGAGGAUAUCAUUUUGAUAUCUUUUGAAAAGGUAUUCUUGAAUGAACCUGACUUCCUAGUGGCUUACCCGUUUUAAUGUAACAUUCAUGAUUUUGGAACGAGAGAAAAUUUGUUGACAUGCAAUCUAGCACGCUCGGAAGUAAAACUAGAAAGUGCUGCCCUGCAAAAAUGACCAAAGUCCCAAUAAAAACCUUAUUCUCAAGAAGGAAAAAGCACGAUACCUGACUUGAAAUUCAAAAAAACUAUCUUGACAAUUACCAGAAGACUGAAUUGCCAGAGAGAGCGCCCGACAAGCUGCAGAAGACAAGUUGCUGUUUUCCAUGUAUUCCGAUCUGAGAAGUUUCUCUAACAGAGGCCAAAACACCCUCAACAAACCCAAGAAAGGGUCAUCUGUAGCUUGCUCAUUCGAUUUCGACAUUGCAAGUUGAGCAAAUACAGUUCCUAUUCUGUGAAUUGGGAAACACGUAUUAAAGUUGGGGCGCCACGAUAAAACAGCUUUUGCUAGAUAAGCAUACACAUAAAGAAAAUUACGCAAGAAAAUUCCAUAGAAGACAGUAUGAGGCACAAGGCCUUCCCAUAUCAAGUAACCAUUUCCCCAGGCAUGAAUCCAAGUAUUCAAUUUCUUCACCUCAAAAUUCAAGGAUGUAAACACAAUGGAUUAUGAUCUAGGAAAGAACAAUUGUAACCCCAAUUAAAUUACAGAAUAUCAGUCUGACUGUUGUACCUAUGUAAUCCUCUGGCUGCGUUGUUCAAAAGUUGAAUAUAAGUAGCUGGAUUUUGUCUGUGAGAAUGAUCUCCGUCUUCAUUAAUCUGAAACAACAGGAAACUCUCUUGAGUACAUAGUCAACACGGCAUCAGUUUCAAAAGACAACAAGUAACGGGAGUUCCUAAUUUAAUUAGUAAGAUCACAAAAAACCAAGAGUUCCUAAUUUUAAUUAACUAGUUGUAUCUCACAUGAAAAAAAAGCACAGAACAAUACAAUGUUUACAAUUUAAUUACUGCAAGGAGACGAGUGCAGGUGUGAGACCUGUUCAGAAAAACCACCACCAUAAGGGUAAGAACGACCUAUUUAUUUUCUUCUUGUUCAAGGUGGCCAGCUGAAGUAAGUUCCUUUCAAUUAAUAUAGGAGAAGCAUUUUUGUCCCUGCCGACUGUUUAAAAGUCAUUUUUUCUUAGAGAUGAAAUUGACACGAAGUCUAUAACCAAAACAAAAUUAGACACCCCAGGCCCAUAGUGUUCUGCCAUAAGGCUUCUUUGAAUGAAAUUGACCUAUUCAUUCAAAUAGAAUAGAAUAAUAGAAGUAUAUAAACAUCUAUAUUGGGCACAAACUGUAUGUCGUAGUGUACUGAAGGUGAACAUAGAGUGAGAGAAAAAGGUAUUCGUAAUCACAGCCACACAUACAGAGACAAACAUAAAUACUGGUUUCCAAUCAGGCAAUGAGCAGAUUGUUGUUGAUGAUUUUCAACUGACUCCGCCAAUUUCCAUUUUUGCUCCCUAAUUUUUCUUAAUGAUUGAUGCUCAAAGAACACAAACGGAUAUAGACUGUUUUAAAAAUGUUAACAAAAGGAAAACAUACUCACAAGCUUUCCUAAGGCAUCAUAGCUCGAUGAAAGCAAUCUAGCCGACAAGGUGCACUUUAGUUCUUCAUUUGGUAUAGAACUAAGGAUUGUGCUGAUUGCACUUAUUACUUCUUCUUCUUCAUCUAAAGGUAAAUGUCUCUUCUCCAAUGCCUGUAACACGGAAUGAUCAGCUAUACAAUGAAAUGGUAGAUCAAAUAGUACUUUGGAAGUAUACAAGCAUAAUGGGAGAACACAUAAACGAGGUAAGAAGCAAAAAGGUUAGAAGUAUGCACUAAAGAACAUAGAUAUGCCUAUCAUAUUUAGGCUUCGCUACGAUAUAUCCAAGUUAAGUGAACAGUGGAACCUACGAGCAUAGGGAGUCACGAAAUUACUAAUCAGCGGCUGAGAAACUAAUAUUCUUGAAGAGACACUAAUUUUAAUCCUUCUUGUUUCAACUAGAUCCAUCCUGUUGUCCAGAAUUUUGAUACGCUACCUCAUGACAAAUAUUCAUAAUUUAUUUCAUUACCUUAUAGCCACAUAUGGUUUCCAAUAGAUAUGAAGAUAUGUUUAGAAUAGAGGUAGAUAAAGAAACGGGGGAGAGAUAGGAAGAUAAUUAUUGAUUCUUGUUAUUAGAUAGGUUAAUAGUUGAUGGGUAUAUAUACCUUAAAAGCAAAUGACUCUUACCAUAAGUAAGAAAAGGCCUCCUGUAUAAGUAGGAGUAUUACAUAAGGAAGUUUCUUCCUACACAAGUAACUAAAUAUAUCUCCUAUUCGGUCUACCUAAUUAGGAAUAAUCAGGAUUAUUCCUACACUCCCCCUCAAGCUAUGUGGUGUAAAUGUUGAACAUCCCCAACUUGUGUAUUAAUUCUUCAAAACCUUGACAAUGACUUGGUGAAAAAAUCAGCGAGUUGUUGACUUGUUAGAACAUAAUCCAAAUUUGUAACUCCAUUUGUGACCUUCUCUGAGAUGAAUUGACAAUCCAUAUCAACAUGUUUAGUUCUGUCAUGAUGAACUAGAUUUCAGACGAUGCUAAUCGCAUAUUUACUAUCAUAAAGAACCUGUAUAGGUGUCUGAGGAGGCAUCUGUAAUUCGCCAAGAACCCGAUGCAACCACAUACCCUCCUUAAUUCCGGAAGUCAAUGCACGAUACUCAGAUUUUGCACUGCUCAGGGACACUACAUCCUGUUUCUUGCUUCUCCAUGUCACAAGAUUCCCCCAUACAUAGGUCUCAUAUCCGGUAGUUGAUCUUUGUUCUGUUAAUUCACUUACCCAACUAGAAUCAGUGUAUAUAGGGACUCCUCUCAUCCUUCUUGACGAAUAGGCCAUAUCCAGGGGUAAACUUUAGAUACUUCAGAAUCCGGUGAACCAUCUCUAGGUGUUCCUCGUUGGGGUUAUACAUAUGUUGACUUGCAAUCCCAACUGAGUAUGAUAUAUCUAGACGAGUAUGAGCCAGAUAAAUGAGUUUACCUACUAAAUGUUGAUAAACCCCUUUGUCAACUGCAUCAAUUCCUUCAUCUCAGCUAAAUUUCUUAUUUGGUUCCAUCGGAUUGCUCAUAGGUUUGCAAUUCAGCAUUCCUGUUUCCUUCAACCAAUCAAGAACAUAUUUCCUCUAAGAGAGAACAAUGCCCUUUUCAGAGCGAGCAACCUCCAUACCCAAGAAGUACCUUAGAUUUCCCAAGUCCUUGAGCUCAAAUUCUGAUGCAAGUCUCUGCUUUAACUGAUUAUCUCGUGCGUGUCAUUCCCAGUGACGAUAAUAUCAUCCACAUACACUAUCAGGACAACAAUCUUCCUUGUAUCUGAGCGUCUUACGAACAUUGUAUGGUCCGAUUGGCAUUGGGUGUAUCCUGCCGACUUGACAGCUUUAACAAAUCAAUCAAACCAGGCCCGUGGUGACUAUUUCAGUCUAUACAAGACUUUGUUCAAUUUACACACUCUUCCACCCGAAGGAAACCCAGGAGGAGGAUUCAUGUAAACUUCUUCAAGCAAUUCUCCAUUGAGAAAAGCAUUCUUUACGUCAAGCUGAUGAAGAGCCCAAUCUAUGUUGACAACUAGACUAAGAAGAUAUCGAAUAGUAUUAAGCUUUGCUACUAGUGCAAAGGUUUCUUCAUUAUUAAUGCCAAGGGUCUGUGUGAACCCCCUGACCACUAAACGAGUUUUGAAUCGUUCAAUCGAUCCAUCCGCUUUAUAUUUGAUAAACACCCAUCGACAAUCAACUAUGCGUCUGUUGGAAGGAAGAUUAACUAAGUCCCAAGAGUGAUUUGUCUUGAGGGCACUUAAUUCUUCUCUGAAAGCCUUCUCCCAUCUUGGAUCGAGUAAGACUUCUUUGAUAUUUUUAGGGACAUCAACCUCAUCGAGAGAAGUGAUAAACGCUCCAUACUCAGGACUCAACUCCUCAUAAGAAAUGUGGUUUCCAAUUGGAUGUUGAGUACAACUUCGGACAAAUUUGCGAAUAGGAACAGGUAUAUCCAGAUCAGUAUCAAACCUAGGGACUGAAACUUCUAGAAUAGCAGUCCUCAGCCUACGAUGACGUUCAGAAUGUUGUUCAGACGGAGCUUCAAUGGAUUUGGCAGAGGCAACUGAUUCGAAAACAGUUGGAGUAUCAAUUGGUUCAGGAGCAGCAGUAGUACUAGACUCCGGAGCUGCAUUAAUGGUGUUUUCAGUAGAAUGAACAGUAGUGUUAUCCUCUAAUGGUAUCAAAUCCCACAAAAGAGUUUCGGAGUCAUUAGCAGUCUCCCCAUCGAACUCAGUGUGGUGAAAGAAAGAUUGGGUUUCAAAGAAGGUACCGUCACGAGUAUUGGACGUUUGUCGAGUAGUGGGAGAAUAGCACUUGUAGCCUUUUGGUGAGGAGAAUACCCAAUAAAGACACUUGUGACCUCUAGGAUCAAGCUUGCUGCGAUGGUUCGAGUUAAUGUGAACAAAGACAGUGCAACCAAGUAUCCGGUGUGGAAGAAUUUUCCGAGGAGGGCUGAAAUCCAGAACUUUACUAGACAUCCUACUGAUCAAGUAAGUGGCCGUCAAGACUGUUUCUCCCCAUAAAUAUUUUGGAACCUGCCUAGCAAACAUNNNNNNNNNNNNNNNNNNNNNNNNNNNNNNNNNNNNNNNNNNNNNNNNNNNNNNNNNNNNNNNNNNNNNNNNNNNNNNNNNNNNNNNNNNNNNNNNNNNNNNNNNNNNNNNNNNNNNNNNNNNNNNNNNNNNNNNNNNNNNNNNNNNNNNNNNNNNNNNGUUUUCAAUAUUUGAAUCUUGGCAUUGAACUGGGUUUGCACCAUGUAAUAGAAGUAUUGAAAUAUGGAACUAGUCUCUGAGUUGGCCUUCAUUAAGUAAGUCCAAUUGUGCCGAGAAUGAUCAUCAAUAAACGUGACAAACCAUCAAGCUCCAUUUAGAUUCUUGACCUUCAUUAAACCCAGAUAUCACUGAUCAUUGAGAAGGGUUGAGAGGGUCGAUAACCUAUUGCAGGAUAUACGGAGCGAGUAUGCUCAGCCAAUUCACACAUUUCACACUUGUAAAACUAAGCCCGUUUAUUACGAAAUAAUGUAGGAAACAAGUGUGAUAGGUACAUAAAGUUUGGAUGUCCAUGUCUAUAGUGCCAAAGGUAAACAUCAUCACUACAAUCAUUUAUUCUAGAAAUUUGAUAUGCUGACUUCUGAAUGUCCUUAUCCAAAUCAUCCUUGAAGAUUUAUAGUCCAUUUGAUAGUUCAACAACUCCAAUAGUCUUCCCCGAUCCCACUUCCUACAAGUGGCAACCAGAAUGGAAGAAUAUAGCCUCACAAUUCAAAUCCGAGGUCAACUGCCGAACAGAGAUAAGAUUGCAGCUUAAUUGAGGGACAUAUAGUACUGGAGAGAUGAUAAGAUUGCCAGGCAGCCGAAUAUAACCUAUGCCUGUAACUGGGGUAAUUCCCCCAUUGGCUACACGAACCCUUCCUUUUCGAUGAUAAGGCUGAAGAUCAUGGAUUAAUUCUCGACAACCAAUCAUUGUGUCUGAAGCACCAGAGUUUGAAAUCCAAGUAUAUUGAUGAGGAGAUUUAGAGUGAGCGGUAAGAGAAUUACCUUGAGCAAAGUUGUUGUUGAUGAAAUCAGCUGGCUCUUUAGUAUUUUUUUCAAAUUGUAAUCGUCAUUCACACCUAUGCUUUCCUAUUUGAGAUCAUACAGUUUGGUUUCGAUCUCUAGCAGUGCAGAGGAGUGGUCCAUCGUCAAAUUAAGUUUAAUCUUUGCAUGAUCCCAGCUAGACUUAGCCAAUGGAUGAAGAAGAUAGAUUUCGCCUAUCUUCGGUAUCAUGGUGGAAAUAAGCCAACCGCGAACAAGGUGAUCUUCAUUGUCCCACUGCUCAACUUCGGAUCAGUUUCAGUUGGUUUCUUCGCUGGUCCGAGAAGCUAAUCAGCUUUACCACGGCAGCUGAUGUAGAUUCGGACGAAAGAAGACCAGUGGAGGUAAUUUUUACCAUCAAGAAGAUAAAUCACAACUCGUCCAGGGUAGGAAUUAUCAGAUGAACUUGGUGGGAUCGACAUGACUCCAAAAUUGUUGGAGCUUCUAUCGUCGUCAGAGGUCACGGUGCUAUCAACCGUGUUCCUGGUCAUGAUGAAUGAUUAGAGUUUAGAGUAAGCGGAAGAGAAUACCAGAGAGAGGCUCUGAUAACAUUUUUAAAAUAAAGGUAAAUAAAGAGACUAAAGAGAUAGAAAAAGAAUUAUUGAAUUUUAUUAUUAAAUAGGUUAACCAGAAGACCAGUGGAGGUAAUUUUUACCAUCAAGAAGAUAAAUCACAACUCGUCCAGGGUAGGAAUUAUCAGAUGAACUUGGUGGGAUCGACAUGACUCCAAAAUUGUUGGAGCUUCUAUCGUCGUCAGAGGUCACGGUGCUAUCAACCGUGUUCCUGGUCAUGAUGAAUGAUUAGAGUUUAGAGUAAGCGGAAGAGAAUACCAGAGAGAGGCUCUGAUAACAUUUUUAAAAUAAAGGUAAAUAAAGAGACUAAAGAGAUAGAAAAAGAAUUAUUGAAUUUUAUUAUUAAAUAGGUUAACUGUGUCUAUUCCGUCUCCCCCCCGCCGGUGAAUAUUAUAUCCUAGAAACAAAGAACUCCUACUAUAAGUAGGAGUUUUACAUAAAGAAAUUUCUUCCUACACAAAUAACUAAAUAUAUCCAAUAACUAAGAAUUAUUCCUACAAAGUAUCACAGAAGAAAAAAGGUGCUUCAGAUGCCAAACUUACAGCAGAAAAGCCGCUCAAAAUAUAUUGAUUGAUAUAUCAUCGUACCCAUAGCCUUAAAAUAAAAAGUUUCGUAAGACAUGUGUCCAAAUAUUACCAAAAUAAAAAGUCAACAAGUCGUUACUUAUAAGAGAAAGCAUAAAAAGGUAAAAAAAUGAAAGACAUGUCUUGAAUAGGGUAUAGAAGACAUGGAUACAAGCCAAUACGACAAGUACAGCAUAACAUAACCCUUUACCUCUCCUAUCCAUAUUAGUAUUUCCAAAUUUGCUGGAUCAUAAAUUGCAGUUAAACAUUCUUCACAAAAUUUACGCAGGGCAGAGGCACAAGCAGUGGAGGAAUGAUUCUCCGAAAUCCCUGCAGCAAGAAAUAAUCUGAAGUUGCAAAUAAGUAUAAAAGCAAACACAAAGGAAGAAUUCAGAAAGACAGACACACAAGAGAUGAAAUAGUUUAGCAAGGAACUUAGAAAGGGAAGGUCAAAAGACUAAAAGGGUAAUAUAUAGAAACAAGAGACAUGAAAUUUUUAAAGGAAAUAGAAAGUAUAAUUUAUCCAUGAAAUAGUAUUUUGUUUGAGAAUUAAGACAUUGAUUCUUACAGCAUAGGUCUAGAAUUAGCUUGUGAUGUCGCUAUCCACUUUGAAUACGAGCCGACAACGUCUGCAAGAGCUAUGCGUACCUAAACAGAAACUUACAAUCAGCCACAGGAAAAAUAAAGCGCAAGAAAAUUUCCUGAAACCAAGACCAAAAUAUCUUCACUAACUGGAUUUACUGUAAAGAAAUUCCCUAGUUUUGUGAAGUUUAAUAUUCAAGAGCAGUCUCACCACGUUCAUGAACCCACUGAGCUCAUCCGGAGGCCAAGUCGAUAACAUCGUGACUAAUUGCAUGAUGCAAGAGAUGUCAAACAUCUGGCUCUCCUGCAAGACUACUUCAGAAACCUGAAAAUAAAAGCAUUUGUAUGCCAUUAAAUACUGUGUGGAAAUUAGGGUAUAAUCUGAAUGCAAAAGUAGGGCUAUUUGCUAUAAUGUCUACGUUUCUGGUGAAAAGGCUUGAAUAACUAGGAAGAUUGAAUAGAAAUUUGAUAUGAAAAGGUUUGAGGAUGAUUUUUCAAAUACAACGGAGUGAUUAAACCACACAACAUCGUGAUACAUAAUGAAACGGAAGAACAAGUUUGUAGGGCAGAGGGGCACAAAAAAACAUAGUGGGCAGCAGUUUAGAACGCAUCCCCCAGGCCACAUAUAUGGGUAAAUAACUCCCACGUCGAGAUAUUGCAGAUGCAUAAUAUCAGAAUGUUCCAUAACUAGAUGUGACAAAUUGCUGGAUCGAUCCAGUUUGGGUAGCGGGUGAAGCGAGCUACCAGUUAGACAUUUUGGCUAAUCAGGUUAUAGGUGGUUGGGUAGGGUUUAUUGGGUUGCGUCAAAUCACAUAAUUAUGAAUAAGUUAGGAGACUAAUAUCAAUGUGUAUGUAGUAUGUUGAGACAGUUGGGUCAUAGGAGUUCUCGUCAAGCAAGUCGUGAAUGAACAUACUUGAAUAGCUCCAGUUAAAUGUUUGGGGAUAUGAAACAACUGCGUAUUCCGAGCUUUAUGAGAGGCAUUAGAUCUACAACUCAGCAAUAAUGUGACAGCACAGUCCUUCAAGUAAAAUUUGAGCAAGGUAAUAAUGUGACCAAGAAAUCAACCUUUCACACAAGGUACAAUCCUGAAAUGUACUUCCUUAAAGCAAAAGAUUCAUUUAACAGCAGCCAGUUUCGAUAAAUGGGACUUACCACAUUAAGAACAAAAAGUUUAGUUUCCACCUCUUUCCAAGGUACUGGUGUGUUUACCGGCGCCCAGCCACCAAAAAGGACCUGCAUAAAUAAUGUAAAAAUAUGAUAAGAAUAUCUAACCACAUGCUGAUAUUAUCUGAAACGAAUAUCUAACCGUACGCCAAUAACCACUCGUGUGCUUGAGUAAUUAACCAGCUUAUUUGAAACUCGUCAUCAAAAGGUAAAUACCAUUUUGUAAAUAAAAUGAACUAAACAUAGCCAAUGUCGGGAAAACAAUUCCAUCAUGUAAAGACUAUAUUCGCAUCUUUGCAUAAAUGAGAACAUAUAAAAUAAUUAACAUCCUGAAUAGGGCACCCGACAGAUCAAGCACCUUCUGCAAAAACCUGGUAGGUCUUAAGAGCUGGCAUAUGUCCACCAGUAGUUCAACAAGAUUCAUCCUGAAAUUGAUGAGACCAUCAGGUAGUUCAAGAACACCAGUCCGCUCAUUAAAUGUGGAUUCAUCAACCUGCCAGAUGCAAAAACUCAACACAUGAAUAUAGUAAACCAGACGAUAACCUUAAAUGUUUGAUUAUAAAAUGCCUAAUAGCUGAGUUCACAGCAGUAGUGUCAUUCACUUGAAUCAAAUAUCAAAUUGCUAGAAAGCAAGUAUUUGAGAUUCUGUGACAAAGGACAAAAGGAAGCAAAAAGACAACACUUUCUAAAGGAAUCUUUACAAAUCUAGACUCCUGAGGUCAUUAGGAAAAUCAUGUCUUUCAUGGUGAAAAUGAUUAUCGAGCUCAACUGUGACAUUAUCUAUACGAAGCAUGGUUGGAAUGAAUAACCCAAAUGAGUGAAGUUUAGACUUUCGGUUAGACACACUCUCUUAUGUUCUGAAGAUAGGCCGCGGUCGUUAGCACAUAUAGCUCCACUUCACCUGAAGAUUCCCUAAGCAUGUUGAGAACUAAUAUGAAUGCUUUAUUCAAGAACUGAAGUGUAAAAAGCCUACAACAUAAAAGCAAAAAAAGGGAAGGGAGAAAAGAUGAAGACUGCAGCCAGCUAAAGAGAGGAUGGCAGGGGAGCAAGAGGAAGAUUAAAGAAUAGAAUAAGACCUGGGCUCGCAAUAUAAGAGCAUCAACCAAUGCCAAGAAGAUGGAAGAGAAAAUAGCUUCAACAUGCUUCUUGUCUAUAGUACCAUUGGACUCGAGGCCAAGUAUAUAGCUCACAAGGCUAGACCUGCAAGAUAAGUUCACAGUUAACAGACAUUGAGAGUAAUUUUCUCGAAGCAACCCACCAAUUAGGCAUUACAUAUCAUAUAAGCAUAACAUUUCAAUUUUAAUACAGCAUUGAUCGAAUAGUAUGAGGGACUGAACACGUUUGUCAAUAGAAAUAUUUAGGAAAGAAAAGCACAUGUUUUCAUCAUAAACAUGACACACUAUGUUUUUCAAUAACCAGAAGUUGGAAACGAAUGAUAUAUACCAGAAUUGCAAUGUUGAGUCUGCGAUCUCCCAGUCUUCACUUGGAUAUGCCAGACAGCUGAUGGUAAAUAAAAUAAUCAGGAAACCCAAAAAUUCUGUAACAGAAAGAAACAUGCAAGAUACUCUCCAUACUGAAUAUACACCAUGCAUCCCCCAGUUUAGUAAAGUUUUAGAAUUCCUGUGUCAUGUAAGAUCAUCAUAACACUAAGAUGGCCUCAAACAUCUCGUGUGCAUGAUAACUGUUUCCCCAUAAUUGCACAGAACUGAAUCCGAAAUGAAAUGAAAACACAGGAUGAAUGAAAUCUCUCAAUAUAUCAAGUACUUCCAAGCAUUUCAAAUCACAGCAUGCGAGCAAGAAAUAGCAAGCACAUGUAGUGGUCAUCUGCAGUAGCUAUGGUUUACAGUUCCCUAUUCACGGAAUAAGGAAUUUGUAAGGCACAGGCACUAUUAUACGUGAUCCCAGUAAUUACGGAUGUAAAAAAUUCAACCAACCUGUAGGAAUAACCCUAAUUAUUCUUAAUUAGGUAGACCGAAUAGGAGAUAUAUUUAGUUACUUGUGUAGGAAGAAACUUCUUUAUGUAAGACUCCUACUUAUGGUAGGAGUCCUUUGCUUCUAAGAUAUAUAUACCCAUCGGCUGUUAGCCUAUUUAAUAAUAAAAAUCAAUAAUUCUCUUCCUAUCUCUCCCGUCUCUUUAUCUAUCUCUAUUCUAAACAUGGUAUCAUCAGAGCCUCUCUCUAGUAUUCUCUUCCGCUUACCCUAAACCCUAAUCAUUCACCAUGACCAAGAACAUGGUUGAUAGCACCGUGACCUCUGACGACGAUAGCAGCUCCAACAAUUCUGGAGUCUAUGUCGAUCCCACUAAGUUCAUCCGAUAAUUCCUACCCUGGACGAGUUGUGAUUUAUCCUCUUGAUGGUAAAAAUUACCUCCACUGGUCUUCUUCCGUCCGCAUCUACAUCAGCGGUCAUGGUAAAGCUGAUUAUCCUCUCGGACCAGAGAAGAAACCAGCUGAAACUGAUCCGAAGUUUGAGCAGCGGGACAAUGAAGAUCACCUUGUUCGCGGCUGGCUUAUUUCCACCAUGAUACCGAAGAUAGGCGAAAUCUAUCUUCUUCAUCCGUCAGCCAAGUCUAUCUGGGACCAUGCAAAGAAGACUUAUUCGACGAUGGACCACUCCUCUGCACUACUAGAGAUCGAAACACUACUAGAGAUCGAAACCUAACUGUAUGAUCUCAAACAAGGAAGUAUGGGUGUGAAUGACUACUACAAUUCCUUGAGCCAUUACUAGAUGCAGCUUGAUGGCUACGAGAUUCAAGCUUGGAAAGAUCCGGAGGAUGCUGAGCUCUUUCAGAAAUUCGUUAAUAAAAAGCGAACUCUACACGUUCUGUUGGGGUUAAAUAACGACCUUGACAAUGCAUGGGGUCGAAUCAUGGCUACAAAGCCUUUCCCUGGGUUGGAGGAAGCUGUCUCCAAAAUCCGCCACGAAGAAUUACGACGCCAUGUUAUGCUAUCUGAAGAUAAACACCACGUUUCUAGUGGCUCCGCUCUUAUCACUAAAUCGGUUAUUGCUAUGGUAAAUAAAAUAUCAGGCCUGCCGAAGCAAAAAGAACAAGCCACCGUUCAUCCUCCUAGCACUAAAUAUUGUGACCACUGCAGGGUUUAUUUUUCACAUAAGGGAGGAAUGUUGGCAUCUUAAUGGAGGCAAACCUCCUGGCUGGAAAUCUGCAAGAGAAAAGCGCGUUGCUGUUGUUGCUGCCACAUCAAAUCCUCGGGCGAAUGCCGUUACCAAUGACAUGUUCUCCCCUGGACAGAUGGAGAUACUACAGAAGAUGCUUACUGCAGCAGUUAGUUCUGAAAAAAAUACUAAAGAGCCAGCUGAUUUCUUCAGCAGCAACUUUGCUCAAGGUAACUCUAUUACCACUCACUCUAAACUCCCCAUCAAUAUACUUGGAUUCCAAACUCUGAUGCUUUAGACACAAUGACUAGUUGUCGAGAAUUAAUCCAUGAUCUUUAGCUUUAUCUUCAGAAAGGAAGGGUUCGUUAGCCAAUGGGGGAAUUGCCCCAGUUACAGGCAUAGGUUAUAUUCGGCUGCCUGGCAACCUUAUCAUCUCUCCAGUACUAUAUGUCACUCAAUUAAGCUGCAAUCUUAUCUCUGUCCAGCAGUUGACCUCGGAUUUGAAUUGUGAAUCUAAAUUCUUCCCUUCUGGUUGCCACUUGUAGGAAGUGGAAUCGGGGAAGACGGUUAGAGUGGUUGACCUAUCAAAUGGACUAUAAAUCUUCAAGGAUGGUUUGGAUAAGGACAUUCAGAAGUCAGCACAUCAAAUUUCUAGAAUGAAUGAUUGUAGUGAUGAUGUUUACCUUUGGCACUAUAGACUUGGACAUCCAAGCUUUAUGUAUCUUUCAUACUUGUUUCCUACAUUAUUUCGUAAUAAACGGGCUUAGUUUGUACAAGUGUGAAGUAUGUGAAUUGGCUAAGCAUAUUCGUCCAUAUAUCCUGUAAUAGGUUAUCAACCCACUCAACCCUUCUCAAUAAUUCACAAUGAUAUAUGGGGCCCAAUGAAGGUCAAGAGUCUAAAUGGAACUUGAUGGUUUGUCACGUUUAUUGAUGAUCAUUCUCGGCACAAUUGGACAUUCUUAAUGAAGGCCAAAUCGGAGACUAGUUCCAUAUUUCAAUACAUCUAUUACAUGGUGCAACCCAGUUCAAUGCCAGGAUUCAAAUAUUGAAAACCGACAAUGCUAAGGACUACUUCAACACCGUUCUUGGUCAGUUCCUUACCAAACAUGGGGUGGUGCAUCUAAACUCGUGUUUUGAAACUCCUCAGCAAAAUGGGAUUGCCAAACGUAAGAAUAGACACCUUUUGGAUGUUGCUGGUGCCUGUACAUUUGCUAGGCAGGUUCCAAAAUAUUUAUGGGGAGAAGCAGUCAUGACGGCCAAUAACCCUAAUUAUUCCUAAUUAGGUAAACCGAAUAGGAAAUAUAUUUAAUUACUUGUGUAGAAAAAAACUUCCUUAUGUAAGACUCCUACUUAUGGUAGGAGUCUUUUGCUUCUAGGGUAUAUAUACCCAUCGGCUGUUAGCCUAUCUAAUAAUAAGAAUCAAUAAUUCUCUUCCUAUCUCUCCUUUGAAGGACGCCAUUUCUAAGAUGUUACCUCAACAUUGUAUCUGUCAAUGCUAGAGCCUCGGUACUUGCCUCAACAAUGAGAGAUGGUGCCUAUGGUAACCCAGCAAUAAAAGAGGGUGUCAGGGGGUGUUACACGUAAGAAUAAGCAAAAGAAUUGGCGAAACUUAGUUACCGCCUGUCCAAUUUCUGACAUUAGGCAUGCAAGGCCACUGAUGACUUUCUCAUCCCUGUUAUUAAUAGCAGAAAGAAGAAGCACCUCCUUGAGAAACUGUAUCCUGUACAGCAGAAUCUGUUGCAGUCCCUGAAAGAACAAAACAGAGAAAAGUAUAUAACUCAUGUUUCAGAUCAAGAGUGUGUUCUUCGUAAAACAGACAAAAGAGUAUUGGACAGGUGUUAUACAUUCAUUUCAUCUAAUACUCGUAUAUUUAGGUGAACUAUUUACAAAUUACAAGUGCUAAAAAUGUAUUCUACGUUAUUAAAUAUGAUGUCCUAAUAGUUCCUAGGAGAAUUUGGUAUCCUGGAUAAGAACGCGGGCCAGACAGGAUCAUAAUUGGUUUUGACAAUAUGCAGCCAUUCACAAAAUCUGAACUAGACAAGAUUGUUCCAGUGGCCUGGGUUGGAAAUUACUAAAAUUAAAACCAAAACAGUCACAAUUUUCCACGCUUUGGUUGGUAAAAGCCCAAAAUGUGAAUCAGAGAAACACACAUACAAGUUGGAAAGUUAGUCUCAUCAUGUUUCGACAAUUCACAGUCUGCAACCAAGAAGAAUUUUCAGAAGCACUUUCAUAGUUUCAGUUGAUAAGAAGAAGAUUAAAAAUACUUAAUUAAUGUUCUUUCAGCUAAGCAUCAUAGAUUAUUCAGUAGCAGACAACAGAUGGAAACGGGACACUUCUUUAACAUAGGAAGGAAGCUUAAUCAAGGAAGGAUACUGAAAAAAUGCUGUUUCAGGAGUAAUAUACCUCAUAUCGACUAGCAAGUUCUAUCAAAACUUCAAUGGCUAAAUCAAAUGAAGAUGAAACCUGCAACGAGAAGUAGAAUUUUGUCGACAUGGAUAUUUCAUAAUGGUUCAAGUUGACUUUUCAGUAUCUUACCUGCAAAGAGUUAAAUACAAAAUUAAGAAGUGGAUGUGUCGCCAAUGAGUCCCGAGAAAUAUCUGAGAAGCCUCCAGCUCGCACCUAAGAAGAAGACAUUUUUUAGAAAAAACGUGUGUGAAAAUUACGAUCAGCAACACCAUAAACAUUCACUGAAAUCAAACUGUAGAGGAUUACAAAUGUACCGCUGUCUUACCCAACUAAGUAGGCAACGAAGAACUUUCCUAUCCCUCUCAUGCAGUUGAACAACAGCAUCAUACUUCUUCUGAGAUUGCUCCAGCAAAAACUCCAGCACCAUAGGAGUAUGUGAAAGAAGCUGUUUCAAGAGUUGAUGGAUUUCGUGAACGGGUCCAGAUAAUUGAUACCAGAUACGUGGGAGAUAUAUAGGAUAUAGUAAAGAUGUAGGACAGAGAAAGAAAGACCUAAACCUCUUGGCCACAUUGCCUUCUACGAAAGGAGCUUACACUACUAUCAGAAUUUUGGGCGUCAACAACUUCUUCUGGAAGAACAGUGAGCAUCUCCAAGAGCGCAACAUUACCAUCAUCAUUGUUCUGCAGCGUCUGUAGACUGUAAAAUAGCUGCUCGAUAGGUUUUUGAUCGUCCACAGCAGUAAGCAUAAGGGAAGCAAGCGCAAGACAUAUUUGUGUCAAAAGCUGCAUGUGGAAUAUUACCGUUAGAAAAAUAAAAACAGAACAGUGGAAUAUCUCGCCAACUCCCUAGUCAGGUAGUGGAGAGAAGUCCAUAAAUAGCAUCCAGCGAAUACCAACCAACAACCCUAAUGAACUGAGAAGGAAUGGUUUGAGUACCUGGGGAGGACCAGAGCUAAAUCUCUUAGCAGCGAAAAGCAAAGCAUUCAGCAAAGAAUGUUUUGGUCCAGACUGCAGGUAACGUCCUUCACUUCGGAUCUGCGGCAGGAAUAACACUUAAGUGACCAUUCCAAAAUUUAUACAGAGUAAGGACAGUGGGCUUCGUUGAAGAGACAGAACAGCAUCACGUUAAGGGAAAGGUUCAUCUAUCAGACUAUCGCUUACCUGUUUCACUCGUUCUCAUACUAACAGCAAUCACCAUAUGGAAAAAAAACCAUGCACAAACAAUAAUUUGCAAACCCAAAACCGGGUGUAUAUAAGCAUUUAGCAAAACAAGAUAGAGACUUGUUUUUCACGGAGAAAAUAACAAACUAGUACUACUUGUUAACGAACAACCUAGUCAAGAAAUUAGCACAAGAGCACAACAGCUGAAUUGCUCACUUACGGUGGAUUACACAAGAUUAAGAGAAGAAAAAACACAAACAGAAGCAGCUCGAUUCAUCAGCUAGUUAUGGAAAUGCAAAUAGAAGGGGGGGGGGNNNNNNNNNNNNNNNNNNNNNNGGGGGGGAAACCUUGCGUUUGAGAAUCUGGGCGGCAAAGAAGUGGAGUUCAGAAUUGGAGAGGAGAGAAGGGAGAUGAUCGGAGGUGAGGAUGGAAGUGGCAACCUCCCAAGCAGAGUCGGUCUGCUGAAAUUGAACAAGCCACUGAUUAGCGGCGACGCGGUUACAGGACUGGGCGUCGUGAUUGAGGACUUGAACAGCCUGGGCUACUUUGAUUUGGAGCUCCAUAUGUUGUUGUAUGUGGAUUCUCCGAAAAGGCUUAUACUUUGGCGUCAGUUGUGAGCAGUAGGCAGUGUUGUCAGAAAUCGCAGCGGGAGAGGAGGCAUUGUGACAGAUGGUAGAGAAGAUGUACUUUGCUUCUUCUUCUUCUUCUUCUUCUUGGUUUUCACUUUACUGGCUCAGUCAGUCCUACCGGUUCAAUCGGGGACAGGCGCUGCUGCUCCUGCCGCUGGGUUUGAGUGGAGGGAUUAGGAAUGUUAUAGAUGUCCAUUAAUAUGUCCACCACUGGCGAGUGUGUGACUACUUGCACGUGCAUGCCUCUCCGCUCGUUUUAUUCCUCUUUCUUUUUUCUUCCACUUCCUCCCUCCCGUUACUGGGUAGUUAUCGUGACCACUCACCCAACUUUUUAAUAUAAACAUUAUAAUACUAAAAUUCUUUUGUUUUCUCUGUGAAGGUGAAUUGAUAGUACGUACUGGGCUGGUUAUCCACUACUUAUCCUAAAAUGAUUGUAAGUAAAUUUUGCUAUUUACCAAUGACGUGGCAUUCAUCUUUUUAUCAUUUUGAACCACUAUUUUGUCCAAGCAUUGCAAAUUACGGGUUGAAUUCCUAUCGAAAGGAAAUUUGUCAACGGUCUCUGUUGAUGCGGCGAGCUUCCACCGUUGUCGACAACUUUUCCGGCCACCUUCCUGCAACUCAGGUGACUUCUCCAAAAUCGCACGAUGAAUCUUCCGACAAAUCAAUAAUCAGUUAGGAAUAGCAACUUAAAAAAUAUCAAUUCCAUCGGCUGAUUUUAAGAGAUAGGAUGUGUUAGAGAAGCUCUAAUUCGAAUGCCCUGAAUCCGAUGCGGAUUUUAGUGCACCUGAACCAGAAUAAAGAAGAGCCACCAUAGCUUAGGAGAAAAGAAAUCAUGAUUUUAUACCGCAAAGCACAUGCAGAGAUGAAUGGUGUGUUGUUAGAAGCUAAACAGGUACAGGUCUAUUUCAUCGCUUUCAUAAAUAAAUUAAUUAAUUAAUCCAACUUUCACAUGAUUUGGCGGAAUCACAAACACCCAUGUGUAGUGUAGUGUAGUGAAGUGUGCCGAUUCCAGUCCAGGGAGGCACACCAAGAAAAAUGAAAGAAACUACUACUACUACAUGAUGUACAAAUGCGUGGUGAUGAUUUUACUUACAAUAAUUCACAGAUGACUUCUUCAUCUACACAAUUCCACUAACCAUACCCUCCACCUUCCAAACCAAUACCAAAAAAAUACGCAACACAUUAAAAAAUAUCGUCACUUGUUUCUUUCUACUCCUAAGAUCAGAGGGUUUGGGGAAGCUCCAGGUGUGAGUCUGCAACUUCCUUAACACCAUCUUCAUCCAUUGAGAUCUUACUCCAUCCUCCAUUCCGCAACGAGAAUACCUUUGGCCUGUCAAACACGCUCCCUCUGAAACCCGUUAUCUUCGACGAUACCAUUGGCAUCACCAGCACUGCCGAUGCAUUAAUCGUAUCUUCUCCAAGGCCAAGCGUCACGGAACAAGCAGUCUGCAACAGCACCAAUGGUUAGGUUAUUAUUACCAUUUCUUCUCAUUCUUCUCUCUUGCAGCAACUCAAAACAUGCACGUACCUUUGCUUUCGACAUUAUCUCGGCCAUCUUCACUACUAUUCCCUGCAUGGGUGACCGUUUCUCCUUAUUUUGUCUCUCUUCUGCCAUGAAUGCAAGCCUGUGGACAAUUUUAUGGAAUACAAAAGCCACUUGAAUAACUCCUGAAAAGCAAAGCAUCUGAAAGGUCCAUUUUUUACAUCAACACAUACCUGUCUGUUUCGCUUGAAGAAACGACUGAAACCAAUGAAGAAGUUUCCUUCACCUCACCACCUGAAAAUUCAACAGCAAUUUUUAUUUUUCCAUUCUCGGUACAACUGGACUCCGAUACUACCUCUGCUAGAUGCCAUACCUCUUGACUCGUCGGGAGCUAACAAAGAAAUGCCUGUGAAUACACACAUCAUUCCUAAUAUGAACAUUGUUGUUCUCAAAGCAUCAAAUACCUGUAAUGAGACAACAGUAAGCUUUGCAAGUCGUAUAAUUGUCUCUGCGUGAGACAGGAUAUAUUUCAUGAUGCAUAAACCACUUAAAAGACAUUUUCAGUCCAUAUGCAACUCCAACAGCAAAAUGCAUGGAGCUGAACUACAAUAGGAUAACAGCUCAGAAAUUCAGGAAGAGAUGGUGACAUAUGUGCUGAAAAUGUUUUUGCAUGCAUCAGUAGAAAAGAUGACAUACUAAUUCAUCAAAAUGCAACAGAAGAGAAAAUCAUUUCGUUGACCCUGCAUGAAACUUCAUGCCAUAUACCCCAAGCCAUCAAAUUACAGCCAGGUAACAAGCAUCAGAAUUGCAAUUACUUAAUCGACAAUAGAAGAGCAGGGAAACUCGCAAAAGACCUGAUACUCCUGGAAGUAAACAAAUCCUGUACAGAUAGAGAAAAAUGUCCACACUAUCUGAAACAUUGGAACGAUUAAAAUUGCGUCAAAUAGUGCCAAUCCUUCAUUCAGCCUUGUCAUCUGCACAAGUAGGCAAUACCAGUUUAGUGUCCAUCUCAACAAACUUUUCACACGUUGAAAGACAGCAAAAUGGGGAAAGAAAGCCCCAUUUGGAUAGCAUACCCAAAAUCCAGCAGUACUAAGAAAUAGAAGAAGCAUAGAGUAUGUGAACCAACUGUGCAACUGAUAGCUGCUAGACAUUGCCAAUCUUAGCAGAUUGGACCUGCAAGAAACAAUUUUACAUUAGAACUAAACCGUACAAGACAUAAUUUGCAACAUUAUAUCUUUUACAUGAAGAGCAAGUGAGCAGCUGUAUCUGCGACAGGUCACUUACAGAGAUUUUGCAAACAACACAGAGCACGAUCCAACUGCACCUGAAACUAAAGCAUAGGAGAACGGAAGUAAUGUUUGCCAGUGUGGUUUAAGGUCUUGUCCUGAGACAGCCACUAGCUGUUCUCCUCUCCUGAAUAUUAUAACACUCCAUAAGAAAAAGGCAACAAUCGAGUGAUGGCUUUUUCAUACUGAAAUACAAAAUGUAUGGGCUGCAAACCCACCUGUAUAUGUAUUGAUGCAGGGCAACAAUUACGAUUAAAAUCACAAGGUAGAAAAGAAAUGUAAUGUUGCUGUAUUUCUCCACCAAUUGCUCUGGAGUAAAAACUGUAAGAAAACAAUUGACAUCAAUUGAACUUAUUAUUUACAUAAAGCAGUCAACUUUACAAGAACGUAGGACAGCACAUCCAUACGUGAAAGUAAUUUUUUUAAUGCAGUCAUAUCAAUAGGGAAAGUCGGAAGGGAAUGCAUGUUACUAUAAAACUAUUAUAAGAAAUAGAAACCGGGAGCUAAUUUAGUAGCUGCAUUGAUAUUAAUGGUCGCAUGGUCCAUGGAAGCAGAUGGCCAACUUCAAUAACUCAUGGCACCUGGUGUUAUAAAUUCCUCCUCUGCAUUGUGUAAAAGCUAGGAAUACUGAUACCAGACAAGUUGCUGACUCUCUAGUGCUACAAACUCAUAAAUGGACACUUUGACCAAUCUUCCCCACAGGUUUAGGCUGAAUACAGAAAGUAAUGCUAGUAAUUUGUAUGUGACGUCCUAAACUAAUUCUGACAUUUUCAAUUGAUAGGGAAACAGAAAUAGUCUAAGGAGAAGAGUUGGACAUGAAUUAACUGAUGAACCAGGUGCAGUUGAUUACCAGGAGAUUGAUGGUUCCCAAAGGCAACAAGGAAAACAUUUCCUAGGACAAUGAAGGCUGUAGCAACAAGAACCCUGCAUCGUGUUGACAAAAAAAUGGGUUCUAGUCAAUGAAACUGGUAACGAAAUCCAAGGAAAUCCAUAAUAGAUACAACAUCUCUGAGAUUGUUUUUCUCAGUUCAGAUUCAACAUACUUGACGGUCACCAUUUUGUUGAACACGAAGUAAGCAAAUGCGAUAUUGGACACGAAUUGAACAGACCCAAGGGCAGCAAGAAGUGACUGGCACAUUGAGAGAAGGUCAGAAAAUCUUAUCAGAAGACAUGAGAAACAUUGACAGAAGUUUCGAUCUGAAAGCACAGCUUCGUAAACUCAAAUAAUAGAGAAGUGUGACUGAUACAAACCUGUGCAGCAUAUCCGAAGGAAACAAAGUUAAGGCAGUUUCCAAGAAAGAAAAACACGAUACCUGCAUAACAAAGCAGAAUCAUCAUUGCCCAAUACAGAAGGCCCUUCCUAUUUAUGGAUGGCAUUUUACAUUCAGUUAGAAAAGUAAAAAGUAAUGAGUCGAGACCUCACCAACCCUCCAACUCUGGAAGUGUAUAACAGACUUCAAUGGAACCUUCCCGCCUAUGCCCUCAAUGUCCAUGAGUGAAUGUCUUUCUCUCUUCAAAUAAUUUUCCAAUGUUAGCUAACCACAUAACAUUCUAGUCUUGAAGAGCACAAACUGCUGGAACAAUGUCUUAAGCGCAAGAUAUGAAGUAAAGAUUGUAAAUACCUCAUUAUGGCCAACUUUAAGGAGGUUAGUCCCGAAGUUGAUGGCAAUGCUGCCGAAAAGGUUAAUGACAGCACCAACAAUCCACUCCCCCAUGGCUUGCACUUCCGAGCUUUACCAGUAUGACCCGUUUUUAAAACUAUGUUGCAUUAGAUUUUAGGACUUUUGGAGGGAAAGGAAUGAGCAGACCUGAACAGCAAAAGUUGUAACAUCAGACCAAUUGAAGAAGGCAUAGAGGUAAAAGAAAUUUACAGAAGGUAGUAUGCUCUUCUAAGUUGUAAAUGCUUUAUCUAUAACAAGAGAAGCGGAAAUGAGAUCUAUUGUAGAAAUUAGGUUCAAUUAUAUGAAUCUUGGUCGGAUCUAAAGAAGGUAGCAGAUCGGUGGACAUAAGUACGUCAGGUUCGUUGAAAAGAAAACAAAGAAAGAUAGCAAGAAGAGAAAGAUGAGAUCUGGUGGUCACCUUAAAAAGAAGGAAACGCCCAGAAUCCGGCAAUGGUUCCGGGCGGGCGGUGAUCGGCGGCUCGUCAAUGACGAGAGACGAAUGGAUUAGGGCUUCGGAUUCUACAAAGAUCCUGAGAUGAUUAUACAAGGGGGAGGAGAUAGGACGAAGGGAGAAAAAUGAAGGACAGAAGAAAAGAAAAAGGGAUGGAGAGUUUUGAAGAAACGAGGACGAAGAAAAAUCAAUUCAAGAGGAGGGGGCGGAGGAGAAAGAGAAGGGUCAACAGCAAAAGUGUGAUGACAUUUUACCCACUACCUGGAAGCAAGUAGGGACAAAGCAACUGUUUAAGCAUUUUAUUCCUACAAUACAAAGACUUCCUAGAACAUUGUAAAUCUACAGCUUGAUGGAUAGAACUCAUGGGGUGGCUUGGAUGUGGGAAUUGAGAUUAUCGAAAGUUUAGUUACUGGAAAGUGAAUUCUCAAUGGGAUUCACUGAUUCAGAUAUCUUUGUUUGGUAAGUGAAUUAUGAGUAGGAAUUAGGCAUUAGGGCGUAGCCCAGACGAAGUAUGUUACGAUGGUAGAGGUAGGGUUAUGAAAUUUUGAUGAAUCUUUCUUGAGGGUCUCCGACCUUCAAGCCUUUAAGCUCCUCUCGAAAAGUGCAGAAAAUGGGGUACCGCAACCAACUCGUCUCCUAUAGCGUUAAGAGUAUAUGGCAUCUGAUAUCUAAUUGGUAUGUAAUAGAUCAUUCAUUGAUGAGAAGCCACUCUUGAACGUAACGGAAGUCGAUCUUUAGAGGCUUUGACCUGAGAAAAACCGGAUUGGCCGUGAGUUAUUUUAAAUAUUGCCACGGAAAUUGUGUACCGAAUGGCGGAACAAAGUAAUGAGAAAUAAAGACCAGGAUUAACAAAACAGAACCUGCGUUGUGAGUGAAUUCUAUCAUCGUUGUCCCCCAAUCAUGUUUCUUGCAAGAGGUACAAUAAGUAAACAAAUUCAACAAUAUUCCCCUUAUUUUCUGUACUCUUGUAUUGUGUAACAAACUCCACUUUUCCUAUACGGCAACAGUUCCAUCCAAUUAAUCGUACACUGCAAAGAAGGGUGAGCAAUUUCUCCAAUUUUCAACAACAACCCAAUUGCAGAAACCCCAGACGCCAUCUGCCCACUAGUUUGCCACUUCCGCACUGAAUUUGAACAACGAACAAACAACCCAAGACAAACAAUUGGCAUUCUGUGCUCUCUCUCUCUACUCACAGCUGCCAAAGAUCAAAGAUGAUACCAAACAACACAAACAUGUAUUCCAUUCCCAUUCCAUACCCCGUUGCAUUCCAGCAUUAUCUGAUCUAAUUACUACGAGUCACUAUAAGACCAAAAUUCAUGAGAUGGAAGAAAUUGCAAAAAUAUGAUUCAUUUGCAGGCAUGACAAAGAUUUGAUUGAUUGGGAAGAAAAUCACCACCAGAUUACUCUGAACUAAUAUAACUCAACCUUUCAAUGGUGCAGUGAAGCUUUAUCAACACAGCAAGUGUAACCAACAACUCUACUCCCCUCCCAUGGCAACAACAGGUGAAAGGAGAACGCCAAGAAUGAAGAUUCAACGUGGUCACUCUUACACAUCAAUAAGCUAGCUAGCUCUAUAUUAUAUUGGAUUCUUCCACUGCUAAACCACAUGAUUGCUGAAUUGAAAGAAAAUACCAACAUUGCAAAAUAUGAUUCAUUUUGCAGGCAUGACAAAGAGUAGAUUGAUGGGGGAAGAAAACCACGUAAAAUCACCACCUGACACACACAGCAACUGUAACCAACAACAAUACUUCCCUCCCAUGGCAGCAGGUGAAAGGAGAAUGCCAAGAAUGAAGCUUCAAUUACACAUCAAAAAGCUAGCUAGCUCUAUAUUGGAUUCCUCCACUGCUAAAACACAUGAUUGCUGUCUGCUACAAAAAGCAAUAAAAGGCAAGCUGGAUUCAGAAAGAUAUCAUCAUAUCAUGCCUGAGUGCCGGUCAAAGCCUUCAACUGAAUAUGAUUGACAUCAGAAGCAGUAGUAGGCAAGGCCUCGUAGGACGAUGAUCCAGAUCUCUUCACCCCAACUGACCUAGCCACCACAGCGUAUACAACAAGCAGGGUAACCACAGCGAACAUCACAUGAAGAAGGAAUGCCAAAUCCAAUAUCGCCACAGCUCUCAACCUCGAAUCUUCGAUAUCGCACUUGGUCGAGCCUUCCACUCCACUCACCACAUCCAGUAACCUGUGGCAUCCUUCCGGAAUGAAAGCCUCCACAUAGAGGGAGAGCCCCGUCUGGAGCACCCACAGUCCUUGCAGGCACACGGCAGCGCCAAGUCCGAGAUCUGCCAAGAACAACCUCGGUUGGCAAGCUACGAUCAGGCAGAGUAGGGAUGCGAGGGCGGAGAUUUGAGCGGAGACGGAGUCGCACUUGGCCUGGAGAUCGGAAGUCUGGACGGAGGCGGAAGAGGAGGAGACGUAGUAGCUGAGGAAGAAGAUGGCGGAGGCUAGGGCGAAGAAUAGAUCAGGUGGGAGAGGGAGGAAGGAGGUGGAAUCGGAGACGAGGAGGGCGAGGGAGAGGAGGAGGAAGAGGAAGACCACGGCGGAGGACUGGAGGGAGGUGAAGCGGUGGACGGGAGUGUGGCCUUUGAGGAGAGGGUCAGAAUCGGAGGAGAUUAGGGUUUGGUGAGCGAAGGCGACGAGGAGGAAGAGGAUGAGAAGGUAGAGAGGGAGGUGUCUGAGUCCAGAGGAGGAGGAUGGAUUGGGGAAGGGAUGGAAGGGUUUGGCAACGUACGACUGAGGGGAUUUGAGGUAGGACCGAGCUGAGGAAAUGAGAUGGUAUAAUCCCAGCGAUAUCAGGGCCGAGGACGAGAGUAUCUGGUAGAAUAGACCCGCCAUUGAUGAGUUUGCUUUGAUGGAUUCGCUGUGUUUUUUUCGCCCUUUUGUUUGUUUCUUCACGUCUCCGAUCGUCGGGGGCUGCUGUUUUUUUUUUUCAAAACUAGCUGCUCAAAUAUUAUUAAUGGUGAUUCAAUUUGUAAUAAAUAUCGUUUACAAACGGAUUACAUCAUUCAGGAGGAGUCACAUCGAAGUAGUUGGACACAAGAUGAUAAGAACGUCGAGCUAACUCGUGCGUCACCCCAUUUUUAUUUCUCCUAAUCCAAUACACCGAAUAUAACAAAUUAUUAUGCAGGAUAGCUCUACAAACCGCAAUAAUAAUACCAAACUCUGAAAGAUUCUCAUCACUUCCAUUAACUGUUAAUGUCACUCUUUAGUUAUCUGUUUCGAAAAUACAUUAAUCAUAUCCCAUGUCCGCAAUCUAUCCCAACGUAGUUUACAAUGCUGCUCCCCUUUUUUCUUCACAAUAAACGAAGGAAGACGAGCAAAAAUAUUAUUUUUAAACUAAGCUGCCGUCUGAGGGACUCCGUUACCGUGACUAAAGGUUUAAGAGGAAGACGGAGAAGACUGGCACCGCCACCGGCCGAUUCACAGUCCAAUAAUAGAAUGGAGAGAGACCAUACAGUUGCAAAUGUAGACAUCAAGUUAUUUUAUACAUUCCAAUCAUAGAAAACGAAUAAUCAUUACCUAAGAAUCCGUUGGUGAGGAGUGCUGAAUUUGAUUUCGGAACCUAAAUAUCUCCAUUACGCAACUCUACCAUUAGAACAAAGAAAGUAUAUAAGAUAUGAUUGGGAGAAGAAUGCACAAGGUAUUUGCAUAAUAUCUAAGUUAACUAUACACAAGAAUCAAGAUUCAUAUACAAACAACCUUAUCCUCCAUCGAAACAAUUCUCUGCUACACCCUACUUCUUCACACUUCCUGUAGUUCUUUUCUUCCUCUCUAAAAUGUCUAAAACACAGACCGAAGAUCGACUGUGAAAGCCUAACCUUCCUCGUUAAUCUGGCAAGGAUGGAUAAACACGAUCCCAAAAAUGAUCACAUUACUUACCAACCCCAAAGAACGUCACCUGUCAAUUCCUCAUCUCUAACCGAAUUUAGUAUUUCAUGACGGAAGGCAAACAAGCAUGGAGUUCUGACAAGCACUGGAAUACCCAGUUUAGAAGUUGUUCACUCUGUAGCUCCAGCAGCAAUUCCGCCUGCCAAAUAUAUGAAACAAUCAAAACAGAUCGGUCGCAAGAGAUUGGAGAUUUUAGUGUUCAUGACAGAACAAACCAUUACCGGGGCUUUACCUUUAUUACGUCUCCUUCAAGGACCAAUUUGUUCCUACGAGCAUUUGAAGACAUCGAGUCGGUCAAUAGUUUGAAAACUCCCUUGUUCAUAUUUGUUUUCAUCCCAACCAUCUUCCCUGAAGCAUGAAUUCUAGUUAUCCCCAUAUCUGCAGCCAUUCUCCUCACGUACAGCUUCUUCAGUAAUAUUUCCAUCGAGUAGGGUUCUUUUCCAUAUUGACGCCGCAGAUUUUCUGUGAACUGAACCAGACUCCAUAUGUCUUUCUCUGCAGCUUUCUCAGCUUCUUCGAUAAUUUCAAUCGGGUUGUCCAGGAAAUUUAUAUACUCAGAAGUAUGGCGAGGUGUUACAUUCAGAUCAACCUGUCAUCCAGAAUGACAAACCAAGUUGUAUGGUUCAUAAAGGUGAUAAUCCAAUCUUUCAUAUUCUAGUUCAUCUUUCUAAACUUGUCCAACAUCCAUCACAUUCCAUCAGUCAGAAUUCUCAUCUUCUGCAAGACUGUAACUUGAUGUCUGCACUAGCCUUAAAAAAUAUAGAUUCAAGUAAUUACCUGAACAGAUUUGUAAGGAACUGAUACCACACAGUGUUCUUCAACCUGUAGAAAUUAUCUGGAGAUGAUUAUGUUCAAAGCAAAGAGAACAAGAGCAGAUUGAAAAACAGUAAGCAGCAAAGGCGAGUCAUAAGUGUUGGAUAGAUAUACUAGCCAUCUCCCCGUGAAGGAAAUUUUAAGGAGUAAUGCUGUGUGGUCAACCUAUCAAAAUAGCAAAUGCAGGAAAUCUUGCAACGUAGAAAACUAAAAUCCACGCGCCUAAACAAGAUUUGAAACUCAAGAAAAUGCCAGACACAUACUAGAGAGCUUCUUUUUCUUGGUCUAAUGAGAUAUGAUAAAGUGAAUUAUAGUGAGCAUACCUUGGACAAGCUCUCGAAAAGCAUUUCAAAGAAUAGAUCAAUGCCAACGUUCCCCACAUCUCCCGUCUGUUGCUCACCGAAGAUUGUUCCAAAGCCUCUUAUACCCAUGUCUCUCUCAGCAAUUUGGAAACCUUGUCCAAGAUCUACGCAUUCUUCCAUGGCUUGCAGCCUCUCCUGAACAGUUAUAAGGAUCACAAGACUCGUUCGAAAACUUUAAUGGUAAGGAACGGCCUCGAUGCAUGAAAAAUUGGCUCACAUACCAGUGCUUGUUCAGUUAGGGAUGACUUGUCAGGAUAAAAUAGGUAAGCAUGAGCUUCCUUAUCUGCCCGACCCACUCUUCCACGCAACUUCAGAAAACAGGACAACGAAUCAGUUUCUGAGAUGUAACAAUAUAAAGAACUCAGGUGCUCCAAUCACUGGAAAAAAAAUGUAGAAAAAUGCUAGGAUGGAACCUGAUGCAAUUGUGAUAGGCCAAAGAAUUGAACAUCUUGGAUUAUGAUGGUAUUUGCGUUUGGUAUGUCAAGGCCACUUUCUACAAUAUUUGUACAGAUGAGAAUCUUAAUUUCACCAUAUGCAAAUUUCUCCAUGGUUUCCUCAAGUUGCUUUGAGUAUAGCUACAAAGGAACAAGAGCAACACUAUAACACUAGUGAGAAUAAAGACCCAAACAAGAUUCUGCACGAAAGAAAGAGGGGGGGAGAGGGGGGGGGGGGGGGGAAAAUUGGGAUUCUCUCGGCCCGGGGUUGCUGUUUUUUUUAAGUCAGUUCAGUUUUUCUGGAUUAUUAAGUUCACAGUUGGCUGUCGUCUUCUACUUUGAUCAAGAACUGAACUAACAGCAGACACUUGAACUAGAAACAACCUUAAUGCUUAAACGACUGAGCAAGGACCGAAUUCUUCUACAGCUAAACAUCAGUUUUGUUUCCUUGAGAUUCAGAUAAGUUCAUCCAUGCCUCUAGCCAACAAAAAGACCGUACCAAAUUGUCUGGAUAUCCAUAAAACAAUUUUGAAUAACCAAUCCACCGUAAUCAAACUGGGUUGGCUCUGGGCUCUGGGCAGAAGCAACUGAUCAAUUUAACUUGUAGAGUAUGAAAUAAAGACAACACGAAUGGAGUGAAAGUUACCUUCCCAUGUGCAGUGGCUAUUUUAACAUCGGGAAAUGAUCGAUCGAGGAAAUCAUGAACUUCUUCUAAUCCUGUUAGCCCAGAAGGACAUACAUAAAAUACACAUGAAAGUUUUGAAUGCACGUUGCAGAACUCAUAAGCAGAAGAAGAAACUAACUUCUUUCAGUCUUGUUAAGACAUAAUGACUUUACAAUGAUACAGACCCAUCCUAAAACCCGUAAGAACAUUGGAAGAUUACUGCAGCACUGCUCAGCAGAACAAGACAGUCAUACUUAAUUCAACCCCUUUAAUGUGUAUUGUAAUAUUAAUGGCAGCUGUUACCAAGUCUUCAAAGCCGGAAAUACUUUGAUAUAAACCAGCUGGAUCUGAUUAGUGGACAGGACUAGUAAAUUUUCCAUGUGCAACUUCUCUCCCCAAAUUAACCAUGAUGUGAUUUCACAGCUAAUGAUUGUAAAUAUUUUGAAUCAGAAAUGCAAUGAAAAAGUACGUCCAUAAAAUACCUUUAAUACGUGGCAAGACAUAAAACACCUGGCCACCGCGAUCCAGCUCAUUUUGUAUUGCUAAUGCUACCUUUCCUUCGUUAUAGGGUGAUAAAUGGGUCCUUAUAGGAACCCUCUCAGGUGGCGGAGUGGAAAUCAAACUGAAACCAGGACAGUGUUUUUAUUAUCAGAAAAAAGAUCAACAAGCGCUAAGCAAUACAUUCCUUGUAUAAAGAAAAUUUCUCCGACAUCAGACGAGGCAAAACGGCAAGACAGGAAAUCAUUAAUCGGCAAAUCAGUUCCAAACAACAAAACCUCAAGUUUUUAUCCUAUCCAGCACAUGAUGCCCGUUCAAACAACUAGCAUUUCCCAUACAACAGAACCUGAAUCUAAUAGUAGUUUUAAAUUAUGCUUUGUACCCAACUGAAGGACAGUUAAUUUUGCGAUACAAGGCCCGCUAUCUUCCUCAUUUCAGUUUCCGAUUCUUCUGUUUCAACAUAUAAAAUGAAUCCAGACCUGGAAGUAAUAAUGCCAGGUGUUUCCAAACAAAAUGAAAUUGUCACUGUACUUACAAACAUAGACUGGUUAAACAGAUAUAGAUCUUAGGCUAAAACACACAUAAACCUAACAUCAAUCAAUGCUCAUUUUGGGGCCAGCAUCACCUAUUAAAUCAAAAAUAAAUGUUCACCCAUGUUACCUUCCUACAAUGGUAUUACCUAUAUUUACCUUGCAUCACGGAAGCCAGUCAGUGCUAAAUAAAGCGUUCGAGGUAUUGGAGUUGCUGAGAGAGUAAGAACGUCGACAGAAGUUUUGAGAGAAGCAAUCUUCUCUUUCUGUUUAACACCAAAUCUCUGGAAGGAAAUGGACAUUACAUUAGCUCUUACGCUUUAGCAUGUAUAUGGGCUGCCCCCGUGAAGACCUUAUGUACCUGACCUGGCCUAUGCACCAGGAAAAUAGAACAGAAAAACCAAUAGAAAUUGCCAGUUACACAAAUUCCGGAUUCAUUCACUCAACCUCUCAUUCCAUCUUUAUGUCGAUUCAUUCAUAAGAUUUAUACAGGUGUCACAUGCGAAUGAUUAUAAUAUACCUUGAGAAACAAGCUUGCAUCACUUCAAUCCAACAAUCCAACAUUGUAGGAACACAAGUAACUACAUGUGUAAUUCCCUGCGAAGGGUUUCAAGAAAGACUAACUCCAAAGACCUAUAACUGAUUAGUGCUUGAUCUUGCAUAUGUUUCAUUUGUUACUACUUUACUUCGUCAAAGCAACGACCAGUCUGGUCUAGUUAUCGAGAAGGGUGAUUUCGAAGACAAACCUGUUCCUCGUCGACGACAAGAAGCCCCAGAUUGUUAUAGACCACUCGACUUCCAAGAAGAGAGUGAGUUCCAAUAACUAUGUUCAACUCACCACGUUCGAUCAUGCCCAGGUAUGUCAUCUUUUCUGUUCUGGUCUGUAAUUGAUGAAAGACAUGAAAAUCUUAAAAUGAAACCAAUAUUCAUGAUUUCCUAGUCGGCAUCGGAUCAACAGAAUAUUUUAAUGAAAUGGAUGCAUUCAUGAUGCCGACAUCAGACAUGUCAAUCACUAAUAUUUGGGAAAGAAAGCUCUGUUCGUGUGUGCAGGGAGUUAUACUAGCUAACACUCAAUGAAGAAGGCAAUACCAAGAAAAACUUAUACCUGAAACCGACUGAGAAGUCCUACUUUGAUAUUGGGGUACCGGGAAAAACGUUCUGAAAUAACAUCAAAAUGUUGCUUGGCCAGUACAAUUGUUGGUGCUAAUAUCAUUGCUUGCUUUCCCGCUGAGACCACGCAAAAGAUGGCACGCAAAGCAACUUCGGUUUUACCAAAACCGACGUCCCCGCAUAUUAAUCGGUCCAUUGGAGUUUGCCUCUCGGUCAGAUCCCUUUCAACGUCAAUGAAAGCCUGGAACAUGUUAUCUAAGCCGUGAAGGGGGGAUGGAAAAUGCUAGAAUCCUAACCAUGAUCAUGAAGAAAUCUUGUUUUCAUUCACAUAAGUCACUGUAAGAUAAUCAAGGCUACGUAGAACAAGCUAAACUGACCCUAAAGACACAACACACUGAUAGAAUACCUGCUUCUGAUCGGGAGUGGGGUUGUAAGGAAAUUGAGCAUCAAAGCCAGCCAUGUCAGGACUUUUCGGGUAAGGAGGGCGUCUUUGCUUCAAUCGGUGCAAAUACAGCUCCAUUAAGUCAACAACCAUUCUCUGGAUUGCAACCUUACCUUUGGUCUUCCUCUUCUCCCAUGCACCGGGAUCGCUCAAUUUGCUAAGCGUCUUAGGCUUUUUCGAUUCGUUGGGGCUACAAAACAGGAAACAUUAAUAGGAUAAACAAACAAUUUUCAAAUGAGACUAGAACAACGGAACUACAGGUUCAACAACAAUGAAAGGAGACCUACAGAUUGUAACGAUAAAGCAAGCGAGAGGCCUGAUGAAGUGGGAGCUUGGCCAUGCCGUCAGCAUACUCGAGGAAGACAUACUCAAUAGGUUCAGAUCGAGAAGAAUUGUUAGGUAGAUCGAACUUGAUAGCAACAAACUUCCCGAUGCCGGCCUUCCGGUGAACGACGUAAUCUCCAGCACCAAGAGUGUAGGGAUCGCCCUUGUAGCUAAAGCCGCCGCCGGAGUUGGUCUGCCUAUCUCCUUUCAACUUCUGCAAACCUCGCUGCUGUUGCUCCUUCACAAGCUGAAUGUACUUGUCGGCCUCCUGGGGGUCCAUCGCAGGCCUGAAGGAGGAGGAGGAGGAGGAGGAGGAGGAAUCGUCUCUGGUGGAGCGGGUGCUGUGGAUUCUGAGAUUGAGAAGGGAGAUAGGGUCAUUGCCGUCGUCUACGGUGUCGGCGCCGGGACGGUAUCGAGCUGGAGAAGGGAUAGCGGCGGCGGAGGUGGCGGAGGGGACGUGGAGAGAAGAGGCGAGGACGACGGAGAAAGGAGAUGAGGAUAGGAAACGGUGAGAGGAAGGGCAUUUUAGGUGGAAGAGAUUCCCCGUCCGUAAUUGAUUUGGUAGUGUGUGGAGAGUGGAGAUGAAAGAUGAGGAGGAGGAGCAAACAUCGAGGGAAGCCAUGACUGACUAACCACCGAAGAACAAGGAGAAGUGGAGGGAGAAUGGGAUAAUUUCAGAGGGUUGAAUGGCACAGAAGCAUGGUAACGGCAGCCGUGAGGCACACAGAGUUGGGAGGGAGGGAACGGAGACGGUAAAAAAGAGAUCGUUAACUCAUGAUGAGCGACCAUAUUUCUGUUUAAAAUGGUUUAUUUCAAUAAUUCGCAUACACGUCUUGCAUCACUGUCUCCCUAGGACAUUUGUUCUGUUGAACAAAUUGAGUAAUAACCAUUUUUUUCAUGCUUGCAAAUGCGUCUUGCAUCACUAUCUCCCUAAGACGGGGGACAUUUUUAGUACAACUUAUAUAUCUCUAUAAUCAAAAAAUUCGGUGAGUAGGUCGAUGUCCCAACCCCGAAGAUGAGGUAUAACUUGCUAGAUCAAUACUCAUCAAAUUAUAUAUUCAGAUUACAAACAAUUUCAAUGUAACAAUUUGUAUCGUCUCUUAAUCGCGACUUGGCCCCAAUGUUAAGGGACGAUCCAACCUCCACCCUCCACCAAACUCCCUCAUUAACAAUUUGUUAGGCUUCAUGAAUACUCAUCCACAUCAAGUUUGUCCGAUAACAAACUCUAACAAAAAGAAAAGCCCCUUUGUUGAAAUAUUUUUUUUUUAACACUCUCGAAAUAAGAGCAUCAUGCUCAAUUAAAAACUUCCACUCUUGCUUACCCAACAUUGAAAGAUUGAAGUUGGUUAGGUCUCGAAACCCCAUCCUGCUUUAAACACUCAAAUAUUUCCAUCACAUCCACGGUAUACCAUUCGCUUCCAUCCUCACACUUAGUUCCCCACCAUAAUUGGCACCAAUUGCUGCUUUGCUGGAUUUUAAUUUUACCACAUAAUUUUGGACUUGGGUUAUUAGUAAUUUAAAAGUAAUUAUUAGUAAUUAAAGGUAAUUAUUAGCAAUUUAAAAAUAUUACUUCAUGUUCCAAAUCUAUAUUUUAUAUUCAAAAUAAAAUAAGACGAGAUGCUUUAAAACGUACUUAUAAAAAACCCCUUUUCAAAAAUGUACAUAUAAAAGACCCCUUCUCAAAAACACUCCCUCAUAAUCCAAUACUUACUACACCCAUUCCUUCCCAAUAANNNNNNNNNNNNNNNNNNNNNNNNNNNNNNNNNNNNNNNNNNNNNNNNNNNNNNNNNNNNNNNNNNNNNNNNNNNNNNNNNNNNNNNNNNNNNNNNNNNNNNNNNNNNNNNNNNNNNNNNNNNNNNNNNNNNNNNNNNNNNNNNNNNNNNNNNNNNNNNNNNNNNNNNNNNNNNNNNNNNNNNNNNNNNNNNNNNNNNNNNNNNNNNNNNNNNNNNNNNNNNNNNNNNNNNNNNNNNNNNNNNNNNNNNNNNNNNNNNNNNNNNNNNNNNNNNNNNNNNNNNNNNNNNNNNNNNNNNNNNNNNNNNNNNNNNNNNNNNNNNNNNNNNNNNNNNNNNNNNNNNNNNNNNNNNNNNNNNNNNNNNNNNNNNNNNNNNNNNNNNNNNNNNNNNNNNNNNNNNNNNNNNNNNNNNNNNNNNNNNNNNNNNNNNNNNNNNNNNNNNNNNNNNNNNNNNNNNNNNNNNNNNNNNNNNNNNNNNNNNNNNNNNNNNNNNNNNNNNNNNNNNNNNNNNNNNNNNNNNNNNNNNNNNNNNNNNNNNNNNNNNNNNNNNNNNNNNNNNNNNNNNNNNNNNNNNNNNNNNNNNNNNNNNNNNNNNNNNNNNNNNNNNNNNNNNNNNNNNNNNNNNNNNNNNNNNNNNNNNNNNNNNNNNNNNNNNNNNNNNNNNNNNNNNNNNNNNNNNNNNNNNNNNNNNNNNNNNNNNNNNNNNNNNNNNNNNNNNNNNNNNNNNNNNNNNNNNNNNNNNNNNNNNNNNNNNNNNNNNNNNNNNNNNNNNNNNNNNNNNNNNNNNNNNNNNNNNNNNNNNNNNNNNNNNNNNNNNNNNNNNNNNNNNNNNNNNNNNNNNNNNNNNNNNNNNNNNNNNNNNNNNNNNNNNNNNNNNNNNNNNNNNNNNNNNNNNNNNNNNNNNNNNNNNNNNNNNNNNNNNNNNNNNNNNNNNNNNNNNNNNNNNNNNNNNNNNNNNNNNNNNNNNNNNNNNNNNNNNNNNNNNNNNNNNNNNNNNNNNNNNNNNNNNNNNNNNNNNNNNNNNNNNNNNNNNNNNNNNNNNNNNNNNNNNNNNNNNNNNNNNNNNNNNNNNNNNNNNNNNNNNNNNNNNNNNNNNNNNNNNNNNNNNNNNNNNNNNNNNNNNNNNNNNNNNNNNNNNNNNNNNNNNNNNNNNNNNNNNNNNNNNUAUAUAUAUAUAUAUAUAAUUGUUAAAUAUAUUUCAUAUUGCAAAAAACUGUUAUAAUAUAUCAAUACUCAUCCUCUGUUUUUAAAAUUCCACUUUCUUCAUCCCAACCAACCCACGCAAUCAAAUUUGAUUUCGAAAUUGAUCAAUAAAAUUCGACCGAAUUAUCAGACCUAUGUAAAUAGUGAACCCACGUAGGCACAUAACAAUAGUACUCGGCGGGUGUGUGAAAAUUAAUAUGAUGGUACAUUAUUUACUGUAUAUGAAGGGCAAUCUAGAAAAGACCUAGCAGUACGCAACUAUUACCUUUUAAUUCGACCACCCACGUUCCAUGUAUAUUAACUCAACCGACUUCACCAAAUAAACCAUAAAAAUCGACCGCUGUAGAAAUUAAUUAUGGCGGGUGGGGCUGGGCUAUACGAUGGAACAAGAGAGACCACGUGGACGCGUAGCUGUCCGCCAAUACCACCUACCCAACCCCCUACUUGCCUUGUGAGUGAGUGAUUUGUAGCCCCCAACCAACAAAAUAACGUACACCCUCCUCCCACCUAUACCGGCUAUUCAAGUCAAUACCUUUUCCCUGGCCAUGCCAACUGGUCUUGCUGCAUAAGUGGUGUUUUAUCUUAGAGUGGUGUGUUAGAAUUUUAUAAAUAUUAAGUUUGAAUUUAAUUAUAUUAUCCGUCAUUAAUAAUUAUGUUAGUGACAACUUAAUUUAGAGUUUAGUACACACAAUAAUAUUUUAUACUUCAUAAUUUUGGAGUUAGAUCAAACACAAAUUUAUUUAUUAAAAUUUCAAACAAGUUAUAAUUAUGUUGUUUCAAAAGGUCAUUUGUUUUAAUUCUAAAAUGCACAAUCAUUUCGACCCUUGUGACGACAUCAUCAUUCACCGGUCUCACUCAGCCCUGACAAAUUGAGUUUGUCAUUGACGGUACAUCACUAAAAUGUGAUGCUAAUUGAAUAGGUUCUCUCUUAUAAAAUAAAAUUAUUCAUUAAAAUUCAAAAACGUUGCAAGAGGAAAUCGAUCGAAUUAAAAAGCCUCCAAAAAGAAAAAUAAUUCAAGAAAUAUGAACAGUUGAUUUACCUAUAACGUGAAGUGUGGUGAGAUAUAUGGUAGCAGUGUGGCCAGCCAAUCGAGGGGAGCAAUUUUCAGACUAAGUGUAACCUACUACCGCUCCGUACCUACCUCAACACACUUUCUGAUCCUCCAACAUUUAUGUAUAAAUAGACACCCAUCUAACGGAAUCAAACACCCCCACACAGAUUCCUAAGACAGACAGCUAGCUAGAGUCCACCACCACCACCACAAUCUCUCACACCUUACGUACUUGCUGAGAUUGAAAGAAAACAAACGUACAGCACGUAACAACAUAAAAAGAGAGAUCGAUCGAUCAAUACCGAUGGCGGGUGCAGGAGGAGCCAAGGUAGUGGAGAUCCGAGCGGCUCAGCGAGCGAGUGGACCGGCCACGGUUCUGGCCAUAGGAACUGCAACCCCGCAAAACUGCGUCAUCCAGGCCGACUACCCUGACUACUACUUCCGCAUCACCAACAGCGAGCAUAUGUCCGACCUCAAGCUCAAAUUCAAACGCAUGUGUACGUCAUCUUAUAAACUUGGAUCUCCUUCCUUUUUUUUCUGGCUACGCUUAAUUACAGAUUUAGUAGAACAUUUAGUCACUUCUUUUGCAUCCAAUAGAUUUCUAAAUUAAAUUAUGACUUGAGGUAAAUGAAGAAUCAUGCAGUCCUGGGCAUGAGAUGUUCCUUCAUAUUUAACUUGUUUCUAUUUGUGAUUCAUUUGCGUAUGUAUUGGCUAAACUAGGAUAUUAUUAUUAUUAGCAAAAUUAUGAUACUCUUAGUGUUUCGUUUUUAUUAUAAGAAAAGUUUGAUAAAAGUUAGGUGUGCUCCACCAAUUUCAUUAAAAUGUAAACCUAACAGGACAAUGGGUUCACGGCGGGGCACGGCUCAUAAAUCAUUUCCUUUUUUAUCGAAUCUGUUAUUUUCUCAUUUUUGAAAUGCUGAUCAGGCUUACUAAAACUAAAUUGAUCAAACCCAACUUAGUAUUUGGGUAUUCAUUCAAAAUUUAUUUAUUGUGAGCUGAAAUUAUCAGGUUAAAAAGAUCGAUUGACGGGUACAUGUAAAUUCGAAACUCAAGAUUAUCGGAUAGCGGGCGAGGACGGAUUUAGUAGUAUCCGCUCCGAUAUUCACCCGACGGGUAACCCGACAAUAUAUUAUGUCGUUUCCUCUCAAAACAUUCUACUUUAAUUUCAAAUUUCAAUUGUUAGAUCCAACUCCAACUCUAUAAUAAGGGUUCUAUCGGCAAAAAUUGUGUUCUUGAAUGCAUUUUCCCCCUUAUCUUCCUACAAAUCGGGAAAUGUGUGAGUAUGUUUAAAUGCAUUUUUCCCUUAUUUUCCUACAAAUCGGAAAAUUUGUGAGUAUAUUUUCCUUAAAUUUUUAUCUAAUAGGAAAACAUUAACAAUUUUUUAUUUUGUCUACCAAAUAAAAAUUUAAUAAUUAGUAAAAGGCUUUUACAUGAUUAAACAAGUAAAUUUGAAACCCGUGUUUAAAAUUUAUACCCGUUUAUAUAAACGGGUAGGUACAAGUAAACCCCAUAACUAAAAUAAUAGGUGAUAAAUUAGCGUAACCCAUACCCAUAUCCACCCCGUUGCCACUUACUAAUUAUAAAAUAUAAUUCAUUAAUUAACAAUGAAUUAUAUACGUGCAGGUGAAAAGUCGAUGAUAAGGAAGCGAUACAUGCACAUAACGGAAGACUACCUAAAGGAAAACCCAAACAUGUGUGCUUACAUGGCGCCGUCCCUGGAUGCCCGCCAGGACUUGGUGGUCGUGGAAGUCCCAAAACUCGGGAAAGAAGCCGCCACCAAGGCAAUCAAAGAGUGGGGCCAGCCCAAAUCCAAAAUCACCCACCUCGUAUUCUGCACCACUUCCGGCGUCGACAUGCCACACCACUUCCGGAGUCGACAUGCCAGGCGCCGACUACCAGCUCACCAAGCUCCUCGGCCUCCGCCCUUCCGUCAAGCGCUUCAUGAUGUACCAGCAAGGCUGCUUUGCCGGCGGCACCGUCCUCCGCAUGGCCAAGGACCUCGCCGAGAACAACAAGAACGCCCGCGUCCUCGUCGUCUGCUCCGAGAUCACCGCCGUCACCUUCCGGGGACCUUCCGACACCCACCUCGACUCCCUUGUCGGACAGGCUCUGUUCGGAGACGGAGCCGCCGCUGUCAUCGUCGGCGCCGACCCUGACCUGACCGUCGAGAAUCCGAUGUUCGAGCUGGUGUCGGCGGGGCAGACGAUACUCCCGGACUCGGAGGGGGCCAUCGACGGCCACCUGAGGGAAGUGGGGUUGACUUUCCACUUGUUGAAAGACGUGCCCGGGUUGAUUUCCAAGAACAUCGAGAAAAGUCUGGUGGAGGCGUUUAAGCCGUUGGGAAUCAGUGACUGGAACUCGCUGUUCUGGAUAGCUCACCCCGGUGGGCCUGCUAUUCUGGACCAGGUUGAGGAGAAGCUUGGGCUUAAGCCCGAGAAGAUGCGGGCCACGAGGGAGGUGUUGAAAGAAUACGGCAACAUGUCGAGCGCGUGCGUUCUGUUUAUAAUGGAUGAGAUGAGGAAGAAGUCGGCGGAGGAAGGGAAGUUGACCAACGGGGAAGGGCUGGAGUGGGGUGUGCUGUUCGGGUUCGGACCUGGACUCACCGUCGAGACUGUCGUGCUUCACAGCCUUCCCACCGCCAAACAACCGGCGGUGGUUGGUGGUGCUAAUAAUGGGAAUGGCGUCGUUACUACCGCUGUCGCUGUUAGUAAUUAAGUUUCAUUUGUCGUGUUGCGAAAUUCGCUUCCAAGUUUGAAGGACCAGCGCCUGCCACGUCAUCAAUCGUGUGUGGGGGGGGGGGGGGGGUUUCACUCAUAUCUAGGUUAAGUUUCUUAAUUUUUUCAAAAAGUGGAAUGUAUUUAACGUGGCGUUUCGUGUGUAAGGUUUGAGUACCGAUGCAUCAAUAAAAUUAUAUAAUGAGUACGUAUUCUCAUGCCAAAAUCAUCAAUUCUAAAUUUUAACAUUUUUCAAUUAUAAACGCCUAAACAGAUUAUUAACGCGUAAAACUCUGAAUGAGGACGAACUGAGGCAGUUACCACAAACUGCCGGUAACCGCCGUCAUUCCGAGAGCCCAGCAAGUUGAGAGAGUUGGAGAGGGGUGUGACGGCAAUGGAUUUUUGGAGCACUGGUUGCAGUUGUUGUCUAGAGAAGCGACUGGUCGGCCUUUGUUUAGCCGGGAAUGGUUGGCUGGUUGGCCAGCCACGGAGGGAGCACCAGUAGUUUCUUCCCUGUACUAGUUAUUAGUUGCUUUUAAUGAUUGUUGUGUAUGGACGAUGAAUGCAAAGAACUGGGAGGAUUAGGCCAAAGCUACUUCAUAGCAGAGUACAAGUUGAUGGCUUGAUGCGAUGCUCCGGUCUCUCAGUUCUUUUUCCUGCUUGUCAUUUAUGUAUUAUUAUUGUACUCCUUUCCAUUUGGAUUACUAUCUAGGGCAGAUCAUCUUGUUGGCAUCGGUAGAGUCCUGGUGCGGGAACGAGGAAGAUGCGAAUAAAAUUCAAAUUUCUAUUUCCAUGUUACAAAUGCGUAUUCCUCUUUCUCUUCCUUAUUGUUUCCUGUUUAUCUGUUUGCUCUUACUUGUGAUUUGGAAGUCUACUUGCAGUUUUAUGAUGGUUGAUGAUACUUUGUUCGUUUCAUUUUUAGAUUGUUGGGAAGCAUUUGUUUGUUUUGGAUUUAAUUUUUGCAGGGGACUUUUCAUAUGGGUGCUAGACGUGUUCCUUUCUAGCCCCUACGUUCGAGAUAUAGCGCUAUUCAAUUUGGCGGUCAGGGGUCCGAUUGCAGAAUGUUUGUCGAUUUUGGAUGUCAGGCAACAGAGCCACCCAUUCCGUGACACGCGAGAUUUUAAAUAUUGUCCGAGAGUAUUAUAGGUAGUCCUUAUUUCUGGGUUGAUUGUAGUUAAUAUGUAUUAACUAUCUCUUUGUCUCCACAAGAAACUAUCUCAGAAAAAAAUUAAAAAUUAUAAAUACCUAAACUUCAAUUUGUAAAGCCCUAAACUUUGAACCCAGUAAAUCCAAAACUAGACCACGUCUAAUGCAUAAACCUAGACUGUAACCACUAAAAUUGUUAACCUGAAAAGUCUAACUCAAAUGAUGCUAUUUUUGGUGUGAACUAAUUUUGGUAUAAAAUUUUGAUAUCCGAUUUAUUGGCUGAUUAAUCUAAUCGAGAAAUUGUCUUGAGAUUAAUAUUUUAUUCUUCUCCUAAUGUUAUGACAAGGGAUCAAAUCUUAGAUCUCUCUUCCAAAUACAGCUUCUAACAUCCCGAUUUGUGUGUGAAUGAUGACAUGCACAUUCGCCUUGAAAGGAAAAGAUUUCGGGCUUAGGCCCAUGAAAAAGCUCAUGAUGUUCAGCUCAUAUGUGUACGAGGAAGAAGUUUUGGGCUUAGGCUUAUAAAAAGUUGAGAUGUUCCUAUGUAUGAGCUCAGGCUCUUUUAUCUUAUAUCGAGCUGUACAAAUACCGUAGAAUACAGGUAGAUGCCUCCACUUCCACAUGAAAAUGCAUGGUUUGAUUAGAUGUGUAUUUAUGAACAUAAUUAUCCUUUAAAAUGAAAGAUUUUUGUUUUUAGAUGGAUACAAUUAGAGAAUUUCACUUUAUUGAACGCAAAUUCUAUAAUCUCUCUUGAACGAACUAAAAAGAUGUUUUUUUGACAAACAAAUCCUUCUUGUAUUUUUGAAAUAGAGUGGUAACCGUAGAAACAUAUAGGACAUCCUAUCGGAAGUGCAAUCCUCGCUAACGAGGUUAUAUGGAUCGAGGGUCCUUACAUGUAAUGACCUUAAUCCUUUCUCUCCAACCUAGUGGGCAAUCAAUUGUAAUAAGCAUCGCCAAAGUUUUGAAACCAACUAACAAAAACAAACCAAAGCAUAAGAUAAAAACCUAGCAAAUUUGGAUGAUACUUAUUCUUAUUAGGCUACCGCCGAAGGAGGUUAGGACCUCAGCUGAUCAAACACCAGACGUCAAUGUGGCAUACCAGUCAUUCGAGGAUGACUGGUUGUUGCUGCUAGGGGUGAGACCUAGCCUGCUUUCCGAGGCAACUUAUGUCCUGACGGCCUAAGAUUGAGUUCCAUCUCCAUUGGGUUUGAUGUGGUCAGCUUGCACCUACACCAUUUUUUAUCGUCCGCGGAGGCUCGUUCUCCAUCUUCAAUUACUAGAACCUCAAUCUCAGAGAUUCUUGGUACCUUAAUGUGGUCGCGACAUGAUGGAGGGUUUUCGGGUAGAGGCUGCUCGAGCUUUCUUCUGCUCGGGUGGUCGCUUCUUCAUUAAGCUCCAGUGACUUGCGGCUUGGUACUGCAGGUCUUUCUAAGUUGGAACUUUGAUUGAAUCUUCCCAUUGGAAUGUAAGCCGUUCCUCGGGGUAUUGACAUCGUAGCUCGCACUUCCUUUCCACAUGGCCCAUAAUCCCACAGAUGUAACAUAAGCACCACAGUCGCUCGUAUUUGAACUUGCACGUAAGUUCUGUUCCAUCGUGAAGGCCAACCACCCGUUCCUUAAGCAGAGACAGUUUGAUGUCCAAGGAGGCCCUAAUUCCCAUAUAUGCAUUAGGGAAGGCAAUGCAGUUCUUAUCAUCAUAUAUAGCCGACGUAUUUCCCUCCAGAAUCACCUAGGGCUACCCCGAUCGCCUCCAAAAAGUACCUGAACAGUAAGUUGUGAACACGAACCCAUAGAUCGGCAGUUUGCAAGGGUACCUGUUGUGGGUUUUCACCCUGACACAACUCAUGGGUGAGAAGCAGAUGGCUAUCGAAGAACCAUGGUCCGUUCUCCAUCACAUGACGGACGUCGAGUUUGUGGCCGAAGCGAAAUAGGUAUCGCCUAUCCUCGAUGGCUUGGAUCUCAACUCCUUGCAUCGACAGCCAAGUAUUGGGAAGGCUCUUCUGCAUUGCCUGGAAGUUGAUCUCCUUCUUGGUCAUAAAGGCUCCGACGACACAGAGUUCGUAUCCCCACGCCACAGGUUGGCUUACCAACAUCGACAACGAUAUCGUGGCUAGUUGAUGAACCAGUGCAGCAGGUCCCCAGUUUUGACCUGCAAUGUCCGGCUGCCCGGAGCUCUCAUUGUCGCGGUUUGUAGACCGUCCUUCAGGGUUUGUCGCCGUCGAUCUGAAGCGGUGGUUCGGCACUGGCAGGUUGCUUCUGGUAAGUUUUUCGCGACCAGUACUAUCUGCAAUGGCGAGUUGAGUAGGCGGCGGCGGUGGUGCCGCAGUCAUCGAUGUCGUAGCCGUCGUGGUGUUGACGGAAGCACCGAUGCGAUUAGGGUUUGGUGACGAGCCAUGGCGGCGCAACUUGGUUCUCUCCGUUUGAGAGCUUUCUUAAGCAACCUAAUUCUUAGCUCAUCACAAGGUAAAAGUCUACAAACGUUUAUUUAUUAUUAUGGCAAGUUUUACAGUGUAAUAGUUGUCCCCAGUGAUAGUUUAAUAGAUAUACAUGUUUGUAAUACUUAAUUUUUUGAGGACAUGAAUCUAUAUAUCGUAAAAGGAUAGAUCAAGUGAUUUGAACAGAAAAUUAAUCGAUAGACAUAAUUAUCCAUCAUUUUAAUUAAAAAUGUAUCGACAAUAAAAAACUUGAAGAUUUAUUUUAACUAUAUUUCUCUUUACUUUUCAUUUCUCUCCGUAAAUACGUGUGAGCAAGUUGAUAAAAGUCUGUCACAUAAUUCAAUCACUGUAUAUUUAUGAUUUUAAAACAUUCUAAUUACGAAUUUAAAAAUAUAUAUGAAAAUGGAAAAAAAUAAAAAUUUAAUUUAUAUUUAAACUAUCAAUUAAAAUAUAUUAAAAAGUACACAAAUCAAUUAAUUAAAAUUUAAAAUUUCCCACAAUACAUCAAAUUUGGCCAACGAAUACAACAAAAUUGCUAGUGUAAUAUAUCCAUAUAUAUCUGAGAUGAUUGGAAUGCUAAUUAUUGGGAUGCGAGUGGGUUGGUUGGUAAGAUGUCUAUAUAAAUAAUACACAUUAAUUAACACUAUAGAUUUGGCCAAUCAUACAAUAGAAUAGAAUCUCAAUUAUGCAAAAUUAAUAUAUAUAUGUAUCAACGGCGGAAAAGAAGAGCAUUCCAAUUCCCCCUCCACCAUUACCGUAAUUACUAUUUUAUUUAUUUAUUAAUCAUCAAUAUUAUUAUUAUUAUUAUUAAAAAUUCAAUUAAUCUCCCGUCCCUGCUGCGGCCAUCUAAUUAAGAUGUUCUUUGUGGCCAGCCAGCCUGACAGCUCAUACGGGGUUACUCUUCUCAAAAUAUCAUCCAAAUGAAGCCAAACAUUCCGGUUUCCAGAGAAAUGUUUGUCCAUUCCAUUUUCGUAGAGACCACAAAAUAAGAGAACACCGGGUUCUCGUCAGCCAAGCACAUGGUAUGCUGCGACAUGUAACCUUUUUCUGGGUUUUUUUCCCCACUGUUCAUCUUUAUUUUGGUGCCAAAGUUGACCAACCUCCAACAAUAUGUAAUUUGAUUAAUGUGUUAUAGGAAUCAAACUGGCAUGCAUGGUGUAGGAAUCAACCUAAUUAAUUUGCAGGUUUCUCUGACUGAUACUGAAUUAUAAACCAGUGUCAAAACCAAGAUACAGACAAACUAAGCCACAUGGGGAUCAACUCAUUCAUUAGAUAAAAUCAUAUAUGUUAAUUUCGUUUUCUUAAUAGCUUAGGCUGUAGCAGCCAGUGUCAUUUCAAAAUUUCAGUUCAGAGUGUUUGGUCUUUCGUCCAUACUUGCUAGUGGGUUCAAAAUAAACCCGAUGAAUCUCAGCAAGAAACUCAAGUAUUUAAGUUUUUCAUUGAGAAGAUAGGAUUAUAUAUAUAUAUAUAACCAUUCCUACGAUCACCUUCAAAGCCCAUCAAGUAUUUGAACAGUGAAAGCAAUAAAUAAGUGAGUUGGAUUUUUUUCAUAGAUAGCUUUUCCAUGGUAAUCAAGAUAGCAGACAAACAUAUUAUAAAUUAAAAAUCGAUCUAGGUUGUAAAAUUUAUCUUUACUCAACAAGAGAUAUUAAAGAGCUCAUCACGUCAUAAAAUGGACAAUUUUAAUUAUAGACCGCCGAAUAGCUUACACCCGAAACCGAAAACAUGCUAUUAAAUAGGCAAGAAACUCCACAAUGAUAUACAGCGCCACCCGCCACGCAGCGAGUAGCAUGAGGGAGCCGAGAGGACCAGUUCCGAAUUCGUUUUCGAAAUCGAGCAACCGAUUUCGAUCGAAUUGCCAGGCCUACAUCUACUAGAGACCUUGUCGAAAGCACCACAAACAAGCAUCAGACAUAACCCGGAGCUCCAAAAUAUAAGGAUUAACGAAUCAUGCAUAUGUCCGCCCCAUACUCAACAACAACCUCCCACAUAAGUGAGUCAGAUUUUGGAGAGAGGGGAUUUCCUUCAUGGAUCUAAUUCAUGAGAUAUUUGAAUCUUUGGAUUUUCACAUGAUUUAGGGGCCUAAAUUAAUUAGGGGUAAUAUGGUCAUGUUGUAUUAAAUAUUUUUGUUGAACUAGAAUCCAAUCAUCUCCGAUCAUCGAACCACCGUAUCCGGUGACGGAAGCACCAUCUCCGGGUCCGCACAUAUAUAACUAUGUACGGAUCAUACAAAUGUGUAUAGAUUCGUACAAACUCGUACAAAAAUGUAUACACAUUUGUAUGACUUUGUACAAAGUGUAAUACUAAGUACUACAUUUUUUGUUAAAAAAGUAUUAUAGUAAGUACUAUACUAACUAUCAUACUAAGUUUAAUACUUAGCAUAAUACUUAGUAUACACAUCUGUAUGAUCGUAAAUUAUUAAUUUUACCUCUAUGUUCAAAGUAUCAGAUCUAAUAUACAUUUUCUGAACGGUUGAGAUUUGUUAAGACUUCCUGAAUCGAAUCCGGAAUCAUUUUUCUAGAUCCAAAUUUGGGAUCAUCAUUGAUCACAGACGCACAUAAUUGAUCACAGAUCACUAAAUCAACGAGAGAAAGUUUCAACAAAAUAGUUUACCCCUAACAAUCAAAUCAUCAUUCAUUCAUUCAAAUGGACAAGGACUGCAAUAAAGUGUUGUUGACUUAACAACACUCUGAGUAAAACUCCCACGAUGCAACUUGCAGAAAAGGCUGAGAGCUGAAUAUGGGUGAAGAAUAAACUUGAGGAAGUUUAAUUUCUUCCAUGUACAGUUGGGUAAUUUCUACGUGGAGAAGAUAAUGAUUAGAUCCAAUGGAAGAAAUGUGAAGAAGCUAGCUAGCUAGCUAGCUGGAUUUAGAAAGAAAUAAAAAAGGAAAACCAAAGGGAAGUCAAUACAGCUAUGAGGCUUUGUUUUUCCGAAAUUACUAUGGCUCCGAAAGUCAAAUCUCUCCGGAGCAUCCUAUAAUCGAUCCAACGGAUAUAAUAAUUUACAUAUAAAGUCGACAUAAUGAGUAUAUUAAAAGGACAUAAUAAUAAACGCAUAACAGACUCGUGAGGUGUAUAUCAUCGACAUAAAAUAAUUAUAAACUGGACAUAACGAUGAUGUAUUCAACUACUCGUAAGGUGGACGUAACACCGACAUAACAAGCCCGUAAAAUGAUUAUAUUAGUGACAUAACAUACUCGUAUAAUGAAAACAUUAAUGUGAUUGUUUUCCAAUAUUUUUGUUCCGAAACUACCCCAUUUAAGUCAAUUCGUUUGACUCAUUUUCAACCGUUGAUGAAAUUUGAUCAAAAAAUUAUUUGAUCCAACAAUCAGUAUCUAUCGGGACGAUCUAAACUGUCUCUCGGAACCGUAGUUGUUAUUUUUCUCUCUGUUAUUAGAAUGAAUUUCCCAUUUCGUCGUCCUAUUUUAUUUCCAGCCCAUAGGUUGGAUGUGUAGAGGAACAACUCAGUCAGCCAGCCAGGCAGCAAGCUCCCGUCAAGCAGCUAAACCCCACACCGCACCGCACCCACCAUAUUCUUUCCCUUUCUUUUUAGCUUUAUUUCUUUUAUUAUUUGUUCCUUUUGGCAACCAAGACAUUAUUUGUUUUAGCUAGCUCCCAGUCAGUCAGUUGUCUUCUUCAUAGCAGCAGCAGGCUACAAACUCAUCCAUCCAACCAUCCAUUUACUUGAAUUCUUCAUCCUGCCAUUCUUUUUGAUCCCUUUUUCACCUCCUUGAUUCCUACUACCUGCAUGCUGUCUCAAAGAAUGCAGGUGAUGAGCUCUACAUUCUAAUUCCCAACAAAUCCCACCUCACUCUGCUUCUGCUUCUGCCCCAAUUCCAAGCUCACCAUUCAUUCUAUUGAAAGGCUUCUCAUUUCUCCCAUUUCCCCAUUAAAGGUCGCUGCUUUUCCCCUUUAUUCGUUUUGGUGUUUGAUUAGGAUUGUUCAGGUCGCUCAUUCUCCGAUUACCCUUUUCCAAUUCGCCAUUGCAGAGUCAAUGUUUGUUGCUGCUUUCUGUCCGGAUUGAUAUUUUCUGCGAAUCUCAAUUUAGCUUCCUCCAGUACCAUAUAUGUCAAGGACUCUUGCAGGCAUCCUAGGAGGUGCAGGAACCUUGGCAUUAUUGGUUGUGAUAUUUUUUGCCUAUCUAAUAUGGACCAAAUUAUGCGUCUCCAAACGCAAUAGUGUCUCCAGAACCUCCGACACUGGAUCUUCUGAUCCAUCUCUUCAAGGUAUCAUCAAAUUUUCCAACGACAAACAAAAAAACCAGCUCCACUUCCUCUUUUGGUAAUGUUUGAAUUGAUCACCUUUUUUCCUUCAGCUGGAAGACAUGCUGGGGGUGAGCUGUCAAUACAUGAGGCUAAGCGCUUUGUUAUGGAAGAACUGUCUCUGGCUACCAAAUUUUUUAGCCACAAGAACUUGAUCGGUGUAGGCAAAUUCGGAGAGGUAUACAAGGGUUUGCUUGAAAAUGGGAUGCUUGUAGCUGUGAAAAAACGAUUUGGAGCACCGACUCAAGAUUUUGUUGAUGAGGUAGUGAUUUACCAAUCUCAGCUAUAGCUCAUUUUAAUGAUAGCCUUGCUUCUAUGUACAUUGAUUGACAAAGAUCAAGGGGUUGUUUGUUUUGUAUCUGGUUACCCUUAAAGGUUUGAUCUUUUGUUCCUUCUUAACCGUUACGUUGGAAGAACCACAUUUCUAUGUUGCAAUCCGUACUCCUCGCUCCUCGUAUUUUCCUGUUCAGUUAGGUAAUCUCUUUGUCUUUCAUCUGAUCGUGCUGAAUUUAAUUUGUCAGGUACGGUAUCUUUCGUCUAUUCAGCAUCGCAACAUAGUGACUCUGUUGGGUUACUGUGAGGAGAACACAAUGCAGUUCCUCAUCUAUGAAUAUGUACCCAGUGGGAGCGUUUCCAGUCACUUGUACGGUAACUUUCGAUCCAGUCACCAAAGUUCAUGUCUUUAAGGUCACAAUACUGUAAUGAAUUUCUGGAAAUUAAUACAAGCCACAGCUAUUCUAUUCAUGAUCUGUUUGUGCUUUGCUUGUAAAUCUAGCAUCUAGGACGAUCAUAGAAUGUGAACCUGAUCACUUGGAAAAAUUUCCAAUUCCUUGAGCCGUGUUCUUGUUGCUAUGAAUGUACAAUAUCAUGUUUGUAAAUUUUCAUCCUCAUGAAAAGAACUCCAAAUAUUGAUGUCAGGGUCUGGCCAAGUAUCAAAGGAGAAGCUGGAAUUCAAACAUAGACUCGCAAUAGCUCUAGGGGCAGCUAAAGGUGAUGCUCUGCAAAAUCAGUGAGCAUUUUGGCUUUCCUGGUAUUAGUUUGCUGCUUUUCAAUUUUAGAUAACUCAUAGUACCCCUAAUAGAAACCGAACAAGCAUUAUUAUUCGUACGGCAAAGUUUGCUUUCUUCUGUACAUGAAAGGUGAUGUGUGUUGUUCAGGUCUGGAUUAUCUUCACUCCCUGAGACCUCGCUUAGUGCACAAGAAUUUCAAGACGGCUAACGUGCUGGUGGACGAGAAUUUCAUAGCUAAGGUUGCAGAUGCAGGGCUGCGGAAUUUCCUGGGAAGAGUUGAAAGUACUGCAGGCCCUUCUUCCCAAGUGACUGCAGAUGAGAUAUUUCUUGCGCCAGAGUAGGAUUCUCUACUGCAAUUCAAAUAUUCCCCAAUGCUUGUUCCCUAAGUUUCAUGACGUUGGGCAUUUUACUUUGUGUGUGGUGGGGUUGUAGGGUGAGGGAGUUCAGACGAUUCUCGGAGAAAAGUGAUGUGUACAGUUUCGGUGUGUUUCUUGUGGAGUUGAUCACCGGAAGGGAAGCAACAGAAGAGAAUAUGGUGGAAUGGGUAAGCCAUAAGCUAAAAAUUUGCGAUUUUGUUCUUUUGUAUUGGAAUCUGCACGGAGUUGAGUUGAGUUAUGGUUUUGUUUGACUGUGAAGGUGGAAAGCAACGGAAGGGAGGAGGGUAUUAGCAGAGUUGAGGGGAGGAUGGUGGAUGAGAGGUUGGGGAGCAGCUUCACGGCGGAAGGGAUGGAAGAGCUGAUGAAGUUGGCAGAGCGGUGCUUGGAGGCCUCGAGUGAGAGGAGGCCCGGGAUGAGCAAUGUGGUGAUGGAGCUGGACAGAAUUCUGGAGAAAGAGAUGAAAGUGACUACUGGUAUGGGAGAAGGUACUGCUCCAACUGUGACUCUGGGAAGCCAGUUAUUCAGGCCUUAAGAAUAAAAAACAAUGCAUAUAGACUAUUGAAAAAAGUGUGUAUCAUUCUUUUUUCCUUUCUGUGAGUAACAACUGUUAGCUGUUUGAUUUUAUAGCAAGUGUAUAAAAAUGCAAGAGAAGAGAACAGCUGCUGCAUUCAUUAUCAUUACUAUUCUUUCCUUUUUUUGUAUUAGAAUGGCAAGGGGGGCUGGCAUGUGUUUAUUUGUUGUAAACCAAUAAAUUAAUUAUUUUUUAUUGUGUCAUUUAUUUAUUGAUAUUAGUGCUGUGAAUUGUAAAGUGUGGAAAUGCUGAAUGAGUGAAAAGGGGAAGUUUGAGCUGUCUUGUGUUUUCUGUGUAUGCCUUUUUUGCCUGGAUUUUCAUGGUUUUCACCUAUGGAGAUCGAACCACCCAAAUUCGUCAGCUUAGGGGGGUUUCGAAGAACACCUUGAUCUUGCCUCUUCUUCACCCUGCACGGAGAAAACUACAGCAAGCAGUAAUGUACUAAUUUCUUUAUUUCUUGCGUGUAUCUGUAAAUCUUGAACUAUAGAAACAAACUCUUUCCCUUGUGUAAUGUCAUGUGCUACAGAGCUUAAGAACUGCACUAUAUAUCUACUGUCUGGUUGAUGUUUAUGUACAUUUGAUUUUCUGUCUACCUGAAGCAGAGAGCGGAAGAAGAACGAGGGGCCCUGUCAGGUCGCGACAGGGUUUAAUAUUCGAGAAGGUUUGCGGUGAAGUCGCUGAAAAGAGAAGCACCCCCUGUAGCCUUAAGAACCACCUCCUCAGUGGUGGUGCCGAUAAUAUCGUUGGCUUCCUUCAAUCCAGCGCAGCUGUACUUUCCACCUGCAUCCUGCAUUUUCAACACAUUUCAUGGUUCCCUGACCUCAUUCAGUUCACCACUGAGAACAAAAAAUUAAUGGAAAAAAGGAUGAUGAAUGGUUGUUAAGCUUGCCUUGGAGACGAUACCGAGUUUCUCUAGCUUCUGGAGAGCAUCGUCAACAUCGAAGUUGCAGUUCUCGCCGAAUUCUGCCUUGAUCAUAUCUUCACACCUUUGGUCUAGCUCCUAGUUUCAGAUUGAAACCAAAGUGCGGUAAGUACUACAUUCACUGAACUUAAGAAGUUUGCAGUAGUGACAUACGACAUUAACAUAUGACAUUAAUAUGAAAUAGGGAAUUGGCGGGUACCUGUCUUGUGGCAUCUCCUUGCUCCAUCAGGAUGAAGAAGGAUAUAAUAACCUCUUUCACCUGCAAUUGUUAUCGUUGCCUGAAAUUAGAGCUACAUAUUAAAAGAAGGAAGAUGAUUGUGGGGGGCAGGUUUCAAGUAAAGACGCACUUCCUGUUGAAUGACCUCAUCGCACAAGUGAAGCAGAGUGCCCCUCCCACUAUCCAGUUGUUUAUCAUACACUGACUGGGUGAUCAGACUUUGAUAAGACACCAAGUUACUCUGGAAGCUGCGUACAACAGCAAUGCAUCAUUCAUAUUAUUCAAGUAAAUGAACCCACAUUUUGAUCUGAUCACCCAGUCAGUCCUUCUUUACACUUACGUGAAAUACGUUUUGACGCAGUAGCCAACCACUGAUGUGAGGAUGGCGAAGAUCACCCUGAUGUCAGCUUUCGGCACACUCAAGGACCCAAUCACCGUUCCCUGAUGACAUGACCAUGUAUGUAUCAUGUUAAUCACAGUAUGUCGAUUGUAUUGUUAUCCGAGUGACGUUCAGCUCGAUGAAAUAUAAUUACCAGACCGAUGAGGGCGGAUACAAGGAACUUCACCCAGUCCAUUGGGGUUAGCCCUGGGUUCUUCUUCUCUGGCUGUCCCAGCAGUUAAAAUUUGUAUCAGUAACAACUCUUUCUGCAAAUUUAUAGUCCUACUCACUCACCAGUACGAUCUCCAUAUCUGCCAUGGGUAUUCCCUUGAAGUGCUUAACGUAAAUAUUCUUCUCCGUUUCCUUUUUGUCGCAGCUGCUAACUCUCCUGCAUAUUUAUUUAAUAGAUGCAUGCAUACACAUGUGUCCCAGUCUGAUUAGAAAAUUGUACAGAUACCAAACCCGGAAGAAAGGGCGCAAUAAUGUUCAUUUUUGGUGUCAAAACAAAAGUUAUCUACCUGUAAACAACAAUGAUACGAUCGAAGGUGGGCUCUUGGAUGGUUACUUUCCCAAAAAGAUUCAGGAAGCUGGAAAACAAAUGUGGGGGCAAUGAAGCAUGAGGUAUGAACAGCAUUGAAAAAUUGCUGCUACCUGCUGAUAAGUUGGACAAAAUAUGAAUACAGACCUGAGUGGCAUUUUCUCGAUGCGAAUUCGUUCCACGAAGAGAUCUUCAUCGUCGUCGCUGUCGCUGCUAUCGUCAUUAUACACAUCAAUGCUGACUCCAACAGGAUUAGGCUCCCCCUCAUUAGAUGGUUCUGGUACUACCGCUGCUGGUUUUGGACUAGGCUUCUUUGCCUUCUUUGGAAACAAUAGCCAUUUCAGCCUGCAAGUUGAUGACCAUAUCAGAUCACUUGGCUGCAGGAACAAAGAAAACAAACAAACAAUUUGAACAAAGUACAAAAUUAGAAAAUCGAACCCGGUAAUGAGGAGGAGGAACAUCCAUAUACGAAUGAUGAUGGUAUUGAUCUUAUGUUUGAUGAAGUAAGCUUCCAUGUGAUCAAUCCCGAACCCUCGCCUGAAUAUGAUGAACUUGUCGGCGAAAUAAGGUAGGUUAUCCUUGGGGUACUUGGUAAAGUACCUGGUGAACAUCCUCUUGUCCAGCUAAAUUCAAAUCAAAUUCAAUUCAAUUAGGAAUUGAUAAGAAAUAGAGUUCCGUUUCGUUUAGGUUUAAUUUGAUGAUAAGAAUAACAUGCCUUGGAAUCGUCGACAACGAUGGGGAGAUUGAGGCGGUACUGGGCGGAGAGGGCGACCUCGAUCUCGGCGUCGGUGGUGACCUUGAAAUUGCUGCGUUCCAUGAUCUGGAAGAGGCAGUUGAGGAAGUUGCGCUCGCAGAUGUCGACGUCCUCAGGGGUGAGGUUCUGCUGCUCGAUCUUGCGGUCUCCAUGGACGGGCUCGAACAAUGCGUAGAGCUGCAUCAUCUCCUCGAAAUGGAGAAGGUACCAUGCCCUGAUCGUGUAUUCCGCCCUCUGACAUAGCCUCCCGAACUCCUCCUUCUCCUUCUUCCCCUCUGCAUUAUUAUCACAAUUAUAUUUGAACCAUACACCAAUGAAGAAGAUUAUGAAUCGAAGAACGUACCAAUGCGGUUGGAUAAAGCAGCAACGAUCUUGCGCUUCACAAUUGGAAUCACCGAUUCCCUCUCCAAUCUUAUUAUAUCCUUCUUCUUCUUCCCCAUCUCUGCUUAAUUAAUUCCUCUUCAGCACUUCAUGCAAUCAUCAUUCUCGUAAAAACUAAUUUCUCCCAUAAUCAAGAUAAUCACAAUUGAUCCUCUUCUUCCUAGCUAGCUCCUCUGCAAUUUUUUUUAUAAAUUCUACGGAACUAUGCCCGCUAGUUGAUCACCAACGACAGAGUAUAAACAAGAUAUUUCCUUGUAAUGUACUGCUGAUCAACAAUAAUUAAACGCCAACCCCCUGGAAGAAGGAAGAUCAAUGACGAAGAAAUGAAGCCAGCAAUGAGCUAUCCUCCGAUCCUAAUAAUUAUCAGACAAUAUUAGCAUCCCCCAUGCAACAGCUUCAAGACGUAGCCCCAUAAUCAAUGGCAGGGAUGUAAUAUUGCCUAAUUGCUAUGUCAUCUCUCCAACCAUUUUUGUGAAAACGCUUUUAUAGAUGUGAAGCUCUGUACAUUGAUAAAUGACAGCAGUCUUUUUUUAUUAAUAAAUAAGUUAAAUAAUUACAUAAAAUGAAUAAAGAAAUUAUGGAACAUCAAUGAAUGAUUGAACAAAUAAAUUUAACAAGCAAGUCGAGAGGUAGGAACGGCAAUGAGUCGGGUGGCACGAGGAGCAGUGAGUCCGAAGACAUCAGUCAUAUCAACUUCGUCGGGUUUCAUGCCAUAAGGUAACUCCCAGUUAAAGUCGUGGAGAAGGUGAGCCAUUCCAAGUUCGAUUGCGUACAAGCCGAGUUGCAUACCAGGACAUGACCUACGACCCGAACCGAAAGGCAAGAACUCAAAGUUGUUCCCCUUGAAGUCAGGCAUGCCUUCGUUCAAGAACCUUGAUGGGAUGAACUCGUCAGGAUUGGACCAAGAGUUGGGGUCCCGGGCUAUAGCAAAAGCAUUAACCAUGACUCGAGACCUUUUGGGGAUGAAGUAGCCAGACACCUCCACAUCCUCAGCAGUCUCGUGGAGGAGAAGAGGGAUCGCAGGGUGGAGGCGGAGAGUCUCUUUCAAAAUGCACUUGAGGAAUGUUAACUUCUCCAAGUCCGUCUCUUCCACGUGGCGGUUGAGCCCUACAACGUCAGAGAGCUCUUGUUGGACCCGCUUCAAAUCUUGAGGACUCUUCAACAGCUCGGCCAUAGCCCACUCGAUUAUGGAAGCAACAGUCUCUGUACCACCAAACAUGACAUCCAUGAUAAUCGCUUUGAUGUUGUCUUUGGUGAGCUUAAUUGUGGUGGAGUCAGCUGUGUCGAGGACAAGAUUGGAAUUAUUUGUUGGUUGAUCAUGAGGAGUGUAGAAAGCAAGCAACUCGUCAACCAUGUCGGGAUUACGAACGUCAUGAUCUUGAGUACGAAGAUGAUCAUCCAUGAUUUGGUCGAUGAAGUUGUCGAGGGAGGACCUUGCGUUGACCAUCCUAGGACGAAGGCCUUGCGGGUCCAUCCAACCAAGAAAGGGGAUGAAAUCAGCAAUGUUGAAAGCCCCAAAGAGUCUGGAGAACUCUUGGAGUAUCUUAAUAAACUCCUGCAUCUGAUUAUUCAUCUUGGUGGAAGUGCCAAAUGCGGCCUUAUAAGUAAGAUUCAUGGUGAAGGUGAAUAUAAGCUCCCCGACGUUGAUGGGGUUUCCAGCUGGGUUGGCGGCCACAGUCUGAACCAUGGAAGAGAUCUCGUCCCUAACGGAGUCCCAAGACUCAGCCCUCCUCCGGCUAAAGAGCUUCAUGACAGUGAUCUUUCUCAUCUGACGCCAAAAGGGACCGUAGUUAGCAAAUGCCAUAUCAGAACGGUCGUAGGUGAGGUAGUUGAUGGCGAUGUUUGUAGGUCGGUUGGAGAAGAUGUUGUCGUGGACCUUGAGAACUUGCUUGGCUAUAUCAGGGGAGGAGACAGUCAUCAUAUGGAUGUUCCCCAUACGAAGAUGGAACAAGCCCCCGUAUUGCUUGGCAAGUUUGGCUAAGCCAUGGUGUGUGAGUUGGUCCAUCAUUAACAUGUUCCCUAUGAUUGGGAGUCCUUUGGGGCCUGGUGGGAGAGGUAGGCGGCUGCUGCGGCCACGGCGGAGGAACAUCGUCAAUAGGAGGAUGGAAGGAAUAACGAUGAGGAGAAAUACAUAUACUAGGAGAGAAGCCAUAUAUGUGUAAGUAGUAGCUCUUUUGUACGACUGUUAGAUGUUUGGAGAGAACGAGAGUAAUUUGCUAGUGAGGAUGGAUGGAUGAAGUGCUAGCUAGCUAGAAAAGGUAGUUUGGAUGAAUAUUGAUGGAUACAUUUCGACUAGAUUGAUGGGGUAUUUAUAUGUUGUUAGUUUAGUUUAGAGGACCGGUGAUUGGUCAAGGUCUACUAGUAGUAUUACUGCGUAUAUGGGAGGUACGUGUUUGUUCCAAAAUACUAUUGAUUUGAGAGUUCUUUCUUUCGGAUGAAUCAGACAACUAAUCAAACGGUCCAAAAUCAUUUUGACCAAUUUCAAUCUAACGGUAAGAGUUCUACCAGUGGUAUAAUGGGAAUUUUAAAAAGUAUUAUCUCUUUAAACAUUUCUUUCUCUCUUCUCUCUCUACCCUUUUCACGUAAACUGGAUAUAAUAAUUAUAUAAUAAUGAUGUAAUAAUGACGUAAUAUUGAUAUAAUAAUUUUAUAUAAAAUCGACAUAAAGAGCCUAUUAAAAGGAUAUAAUAAAAGCGCAUAACAGACUCAUAAAGUAUAUAUAUCAUGGACAUAAAAGAGUGGUAAACUGGACAUAACGAUGAUGAAUUCAACUAAUCGUAAGGUGGACUAACAACGACAUAACGAGUCUGUCAAAUGGUUAUAUUAGCGACAUAACAUGCUCGUACAAUGACCGCACUUAUGUGAUUUAUUUUCAAUUUUUUUUAUUCCAAAACUACCCCUAUUCAAGUCAAUUCGUUUGACUCAUUUCAGUUGUUGGAUGAAAGUUGACGCAAAAAUGACAUGAUCCAACGGCCCACAAUCUGUCAGAUUAAUCCGACGGAAAGGGCUCUCGGAUCAAUAGCCGAGUUAGGUGUUUGUCGGCGUACGUCUCCAACUUUGAAUAGCAGGGGUAUACUAUUCUUCAGCCUGGUCGCCUCUUUAAUUAUUUUAAUUUGCACUACUUGCAAUUGCAUGCAUGUUCUAAUUAAUUACGUACAAAUCAUUUGGUUUAAACUAUUAUAUAACUCUCUACAAGUGGCAUUAAUUCUUUAUGUACACGUCCUGACUUUCAUUUUCCUUACUUGGACCCGUCAAUUUCCCAUGUACGUACGUCUCCAGUAAAGCCUUUGAUUUCUCUGUGACCUCGCUCUGAUCAUUUCUAUUUUGUGAAACGAAUAAUAAAAUUUUUGUUUGUAUUUGUGAACCGAAUUGAGAAUUCGACAUGAAUAAUUAAACAAAUGGGGUUUCUGGUAAUCCGUACCCCGAGCGAGGGUUUGACCACAUUUUGAUAAAUAAUUAUAAUAAUAUGUAAUUAGUUAUAAUCAUUUGUAACUAAUUACACAAUUAAAUAACUAAUUAUAAUUAUUUGUAACUAAUUAUACUUAUAAUUAUCUCUAACUAGCUAGUCAUAGAAUUUUAUAACCACUUAUUUUGUCUACAACCUAACUAGUUAUUAGACUCUAAGAAUAACUAAUAGUUCAACUCCUUGAUUCAUUAAUAUCAUUUAUAAGAUUAAAUAGCUCAUCGUGCCAUUUUCAUAAUGUUGUCACUGGUUUUUGCUAUUGUAGUAAUUAAUAAAACGUUGUGUAUAUUUGAAACCAACCUCUCCUGUUUAAAACAUUAAUCGUCCGUUGACAAGCGAGAAUGUAAAAUGAAAUUUGGAUGGAAAUGAAAAAGUUAGUUUUCAAUAUGUACGUCGUUUGAAUAUAAGUUUUCCGUUUAAAUAAGAAAGUAUUCAGAAUUCCAUUUCACAUUCCAGCUUUCAAACGGACCAUGAGUAUUAAACAGUUCGACCAAGUAUAACCAGUCACCAAUGUGAUUACUCUAAUAACUUUUACAUAGGAAAGAGAGAAAAGACGAUUUACUGAACAACCAAUUCAUCCCCAACCAACUUGAAUGUCAUCCUUGACUCGUGGGCUAUUGCGCACAUUCUGUUCAUCUACCUAAUACAUCUCGAUAACCAUAUAUAGAUUAGAAUCCUAUUAUAUAUUAACCAUUUUCAUAUAUUUAAUUGCCUCGGAUCAACUUUUUCUACAUUUUCUUAUGUUUUUCUUUGAGUUAAGUUUAAUCGUAUUUUUCACUAUUAAUGAUUAAAAUACAUCUUUGAAGUAGAUUGUAUAUAUUUAAUGUAUAUACCACACACUCAUGCAUUACAUAAAAAUCGAUUUUAUAUACAAUACUGUAUCACCUCGUUAAUUAUUGCGAUGUAUAUAAUCUCAAUAUUCGUAUCAAAUUAGUGAAGAGUAAUUCAUUAAAAUUAUGAUCUUCAUACAUGUAGUAACAUCGUAACAUAGUCUGAUGGUUUUGAUAUUUUUUUUGUUCGGGUCGGGGCCGGCCAAGGCUUUACCCGAAUAAUGUGAAAACCUGAAUCUAUAUAUUGUGUAGAUCCGACCUCGACCUAAGCCUAUUUAGUUUACCCAAAAAAAGGUUGAUCGGGUCGGGCUAAGUCCGCUCGAAAUCCAACUCGCUUCUCUAUUCGUACUCACUUUAAACUCAUCUCAUCAUCCACAACACAGUGUAAUUUUAUCUAACAAAUUCUACAUGUGGAGAGUGAAAACUGAAAUCCGGAGAAGAACUAUAUUUCCUUGGUUAGAACUGUUUAACUUGAGUGCGUAUGUCUUUUUCAUCAACACAUGUUUGUGGCUCCAAAGGUGGAAAAAGAAAGUUGAAAUCUUAGGAUUAAUAAAAAAAAUUUGAAAUUGAAGAGGAAAAAAAGGAGGGAAUCCUUUUAAUGAAUUUUAUAUAAUUUUAAUUAAUAAUAUAUAUUAUUCUUCAUUUAUAUGUCGAUUUAACAAUUAAAAUUAUAACAACUAUAUUAUCUUAUGUACAUAUUUAUAUAUAAUAAUAAAAUUAGUAUAACAAAAUAUAAAAAUAUAUAAUAUUAGUUAACAUAAUUUUUAUUUUUAAUUACAUGACUAAAUUCCGUUAAUGGGCUGAAAAAAAAAUAGUUUAGAAUAAUAUGUAUGUUACACUACCCANNNNNNNNNNNNNNNNNNNNNNNNNNNNNNNNNNNNNNNNNNNNNNNNNNNNNNNNNNNNNNNNNNNNNNNNNNNNNNNNNNNNNNNNNNNNNNNNNNNNNNNNNNNNNNNNNNNNNNNNNNNNNNNNNNNNNNNNNNNNNNNNNNNNNNNNNNNNNNNNNNNNNNNNNNNNNNNNNNNNNNNNNNNNNNNNNNNNNNNNNNNNNNNNNNNNNNNNNNNNNNNNNNNNNNNNNNNNNNNNNNNNNNNNNNNNNNNNNNNNNNNNNNNNAAUAUAUAUUUGGAGUCAUACAUAGAACUUUGACGGGUCCAAAGGAUCUUCAAUAAAAUGAAAGUGAGGACGUAGCUGCUGGUUGGCUGCAAUCAUGUAUACAUACAUGUGUGAAUAAUUCCACUUGCAUGCAAUUUUAUAUAAUUAAUUGGUUAGAAUAUAUAUAUAUAUAGUACUUGCAACUGGACAUUAAAAUAUGCGAGGGGAAAUGAAUUGCAAGACUAGCAGCUGCUAUACCUAUUCAAACUUGGUGACGCCAACAACCCAUGCCGCAUGCAGUAAUAUAAUAUUUCUACGUACUCGUAGUCGUAGACCUUGACCGAUGCUCUAAACUCUCUUACAAAAUCGUUCCCUUUCCUAAUUUCCCUCUCAACAACAAUAUAUAUAUAAUACCCCAUCGGCCUAGCUAUACUCAAUCCAAAUAAAUAUAUCCAAACUCCGAAAGCAAAGUAGCUAGCCAUCAUCACUUCAUCGAUCCUUACUAGCAAAUUAGUUACACAUCUGACCUAACCAUCCCAUUUAGAGCUCUUAUAUACGUACUUCCACUAUGGGUUCUCUCCUCCUAGUAUUCGUAUUUCUCCUCAUCGUUAUCCCUUCCAUCCUCCUAAUAUUGAUGAUGUUCCUCCGCCGUGGCCGCACCACCAGCCUACUGCCUCUCCCACCGGGCCCCAAAGGACUCCCAAUCAUUGGGAACAUGUUAAUGAUGGACCAACUCACACACCAUGGCUUAUCCAAACUUGCUAAGCAAUACGGCGGAUUGUUCCAUCUUCGUAUGGGGAACAUCCAUAUGAUGACUGUCUCCUCCCCUGAUAUAGCCAAGCAAGUUCUCAAGGUCCACGACAACAUCUUCUCCAACCGACCUACAAACAUCGCCAUCAACUACCUCACCUACGACCGUUCUGAUAUGGCAUUUGCUAACUACGGUCCCUUUUGGCGUCAGAUGAGAAAGAUCACUGUCAUGAAGCUCUUUAGCCGGAGGAGGGCUGAGUCUUGGGACUCCGUUAGGGACGAGAUCUCUUCCAUGGUUCAGACUGUGGCCGCCAACCCAGCUGGAAACCCCAUCAACGUCGGGGAGCUUAUAUUCACCUUCACCAUGAAUCUUACUUAUAAGGCCGCCUUUGGCACCUCCACCAAGAUGAAUGAUCAGAUGCAGGAGUUCAUUAAGAUACUCCAAGAGUUCUCCAGACUCUUUGGGGCUUUCAACAUUGCUGAUUUCAUCCCCUUUCUUGGUUGGAUGGACCCGCAAGGCCUUCGUCCUAGGAUGGUCAACGCAAGGUCCUCCCUCGACAACUUCAUCGACCAAAUCAUGGAUGAUCAUCUUCGCACUCAAGAUCAUGACGUUCGUAAUCCCGACAUGGUUGACGAGUUGCUUGCUUUCUACACUCCUCAUGAUCAACCAACAAAUAAUUCCAAUCUUGUCCUCGACGCAGCUGACUCCACCACUACUGCACCAAUUAAGCUCACCAAAGACAACAUCAAAGCCAUUAUCAUGGAUGUCAUGUUUGGUGGUACCGAGACUGUUGCUUCCAUAAUCGAGUGGGCUAUGGCCGAGCUGUUGAAGAGUCCUCAAGAUUUGAAGCGGGUNNNNNNNNNNNNNNNNNNNNNNNNNNNNNNNNNNNNNNNNNNNNNNNNNNNNNNNNNNNNNNNNNNNNNNNNNNNNNNNNNNNNNNNNNNNNNNNNNNNNNNNNNNNNNNNNNNNNNNNNNNNNNNNNNNNNNNNNNNNNNNNNNNNNNNNNNNNNNNNNNNNNNNNNNNNNNNNNNNNNNNNAUUCAUUUUAUGUAAUUAUUUAACUUAUUUAUUAAUAAAAAAGACUGCUGUCAUUUAUCAAUGUACAGAGCUUCACAUCUAUAAAAGCGUUUUCACAAAAAUGGUUGGAGAGAUGACAUAGCAAUUAGGCAAUAUUACAUCCCUGCCAUUGAUUAUGGGGCUACGUCUUGAAGCUGUUGCAUGGGGGAUGCUACCUGACUUAUUGCCGUUCCUACCUCUCGACUUGCUUGUUAAAUUUAUUUGUUCAAUCAUUCAUUGAUGUUCCAUAAUUUCUUUAUUCAUUUUAUGUAAUUAUUUAACUUAUUUAUUAAUAAAAAAGACUGCUGUCAUUUAUCAAUGUACAGAGCUUCACAUCUAUAAAAGCGUUUUCACAAAAAUGGUUGGAGAGAUGACAUAGCAAUUAGGCAAUAUUACAUCCCUGCCAUUGAUUAUGGGGCUACGUCUUGUAGCUGUCUUGAAGCUGUUGCAUGGGGGAUGCUACCUGACUUAUUGCCGUUCCUACCUCUCGACUUGCUUGUUAAACUAACAUACGUAACUUAAGAAAACAAGACCGGCACGUCGAAGAAGAUACAUCUACAUCUCAAGCAACCAAGUAGGAGUCAGAGGCUAAACUACAGCAUCUCAACUUUUUGAAAAAUUUGUUUAUUUAAUGAUGCAUUGUUGUUCCAUGAUUUCUUCAUUCAUUUUAUGUAAUUAUUUAACUUAUUGAUUAAUACAAGAUUCUGACAUUGUUCAUGUUUGUACGUUGAUAUCACUGUGUGAUGAACAAUGCGUUUUGUACAAGAUAUAAACACCCACAUCCAACCCAGGAAAAAAAAACAAGAAGUGCAGCAAAAGUUGCUGCAAACACAACAUCCCCAGAAAACAGGAAUGCCCCACAGCCUCAAAUCCGGGAAAAAAAACAUAAUUGUUGGGUUAUAAGUAUUUCAGAGCGUUCUCGAAGCCUCUUCAAAUUCAUUAAAAUUUUGAUUUGAAGGUUUAAUAAUUUUAUCUUACGAAAAAAUUCCUUUAAACCAUAAACUCUGGUAUAGGAUGGGAAUGUUUUUUACGAUAAGUGAUUACAAUCACGACUUAGCCAGACCGACUACUCUUACACAAAGGCUAUUAAAGCUAAAGAAGUAACGACUGCUCUUACACAAAGGCUAUUAAAGCUAAAGAAGUAACGACGAAGUUCGAGUCAAUUUGCGCACCAAGACCAUCUGCAGUUUCGUAAAGAUAGAUAAUUUCCCUAAACAAUAGGCAUAAUAAUAAUAAUAAAAAACAAGAUUAGGAAAGUGUAAUUUACCAUGCAACUUAAGCACUGCAAAAUAAUAACAAAAAAUCAGCAAUUGAACCACAUAAGUUCACUUGCGAACAUUUUACACGUACCGCCUUCCAAAAAUGGAAAACCAAGUGCCUCUCCCCUUUUAACAAUGCCCCCGCUUUACAACUGCCAUAAACACCACCUUAUCUAUUCCAUGCUUUGCUGUGCUUAUUCGAUUGCCCAUAGACCGCAACCACCAUCAUGACAUCUAACUGUACAACCAUUCAACUGUUUAGGACUUGGGAAGAAGAGUUCAUACAGAAAUAACAGACUGAAUCUUAACUCACCAAACUCAGCAGCCAUUUCAUGGUGUCAUUGGGAACUAACACCCUGCUUCGCCUUGAGGACUACUUCUUCGGUGGUGGUGCCAAUUAUCUCAUUAGCCCUUUUCAGCCCUACGCAGUAGUACCUCGAAAGGGAAUCCUGUUUUUUCCCCACAUCUUAGUCACUGCCAUUAACCCCCCACAUGAAACAUAAUAACAUCAAGAGAGACAACUUACCCUAGCAACAAUGCCAAGCUUCUCCAGUUUCUCUACUGCAUCGUCUACAUCGAAAUUACAGCUCUCCCCAAACUCUUCUUUUAGUAAUUCCUCGCACCGCAAAUCUAGAUCCUAUAAUCCAAGAGCAUUUUACUCAGCAACAUCCAAACUCAACCAAAUUCAACAUUUGCCCAUGAAAGGGAGCAUCACACUUACCUCCCUAGUAGCCUUGCCUUGUUCCAUCAAUAUGAAGAAUGAAAUAAUCACCUCUUUCACCUGACACAUGAUAACACAACAAGACUAUUUAGAGGGCCUUCGCAACUAGCAUCACAACAUUACAUAAUUUGAGACAAACAAAAAAAUACAAAUGACACACGUAAUUAAUUUGCUUCAAAUCAUAGGACAGAAAGAAUAAAACUUCAAACUCACUUCUUGCUGAAUUACAUCGUCACACAGGUGAAGAAGAGUGCCCUUCCCACUGUCUAGCUGUUUGUCAUACAUAGACUGGGUGAUCAAGUUUUGAUAUGCAGCCAAGUUUUGCUGGUAACUGUAGUUUUAAAGUAGCCCAACUGGUCAUCUCAUACAAGGAAAAUGGAAAAUAUAGAGGGACAACUGUAGCAAGGAUUCGUCAUAUCUGUGUCGAAACAAAGACAACAAAACUGCAGAUAGCACUUACGUGAAGUAUGUCUUGGCACAGUAGCCAACAACUGUUGAGAGGACAGCAAACAUAACCCAGAGAUCGUCCUUGGGUGAUUCAAUAGAACUAACUACAGCAACCUGUUAGAUUGGAAUGAGCAGGAGGCCAAAAGAUAAUUAGACAAAUCUUGAAGGGAACAUAACAGUGAACAAAAAGAGACCUAUUUGUCCGAAUCUCACCAGUCCCACUAUAGCAGAAACUAAGAACGUCACCCAGUCCAUUGGAGUUAACCCAGGGUUUCUCUUUUCUGGCUGUCAAUGCAGAAAACUUCAGUAUUAAUUUCAUACAGGUUGUAAAAUACCAAGAAACCAAACAACAUGUGUCCCAUGUGCCUUUCAUAUAUGUGCAUUUAUACGUGAGCACGGGGAGAGAAUCUUACAAGAACUAUUUCCAUAUCAGCCAUUGGUAUGUUUUUGAAAUGCUUUACAUACACUCCACGUUCUAGUUUUUCCUUGGUACUUGCUCGCCUGGACAUAUCAUUCUGGCAUUGUUAAUAUUGGUCUCACCCCACAAAAUUGAAGGUACACCCCAAUCAGAGCAAAAGUAUUGAAUCAAAACCAAUCAAAGCAGUCUGGAUCCUAUAAGCUAUUAUAUAAAAAUAAUGUGCAUUGGUCAGAUCACAAAUUAUUGAAAAAAGAGCACAAGAAUCCAGUUUAAAUGUACUAUGACAUGCUCACAGUUGUGAAAGUCCCAAUGCCAGAUAGUUUUAACAGCUAGCUGUCGUCGUAACUAAGAAAAACUGAAGACAGUAGUUCAGAUUCCAAUCAACAAGAGAAAAAUGGAUGUAUCGUCAUUACCUAUAAACAACUAUUAUCCUGUCGAACGUAGGCUCUUGAAUUGUUGUCUUGCUCAGCAAAUUCCCCAAGCUGAGAUAACAAAGGAGUGCAUUGAAGUCAGUAAGAAGCAAACAAUCAGAACAACUAUUAUAUCAAAACUAAGACAAAUUACUUUGAUCGCCUUGACGAAUUAAUUGAAGACCAAGUUUCAUUUAUAGGCAGGACACAAGAAUGAAAGAAGAAGAAAAUUGACAGGCGGUCUGUCUCGUGAAAAGUUCGAUCUUUCAUGUGUUUUCCACUCCAAUGCACCAACAUGAAAAAUAUCGAACCUAAGUUCCAUAUUUUCAAGGCGGAUGCGUUCCACAAAAAAUUCGUCCUUGUUGUCUUCGGAACUAUUGUCGUCAUCUUUCGUUGGGUCUCUCCGUUGUUUUUUAGGCUUUCGCGAGAGAAAUUUCCCCAACCUGCAUCAACGAAAAGUUACGUAGCUACGCGAUGAGGAACUGGAUAAAAGAGACAAAGAGGAAGUAGAAACAGUACUUCACCCUAACCAAAUUACUGUUGCAUUGGUUAUACAUUAGAUAUUGAUUCCCUGUAGUUAUAACUUAUAAGACUAAUUGCAUUAUGUACAAAUUGAUGUCUUUAACCACGCCAGAACUGCUUACCUCGUAACCCUUAAGAGAUAUGCCCAAAAACGACCGAUAAGCAUGUCUACUUUCUCCAUGAAAAAAUAGCCAGUUGUUUGAUCAAUUCCAAUGCCACGACGAAAGAUAACAUACUAGGAAAAAAAAGAAAAGGAAAAUACUUGCAUUAGAUUUAUUGAGAGGCCAAGUCAUUAGAAGGGAGAACCAUGUAGAAUUUGUUCAUCAUGUCAAUAAAUUAUAACCAGAUGUUUCCUUAAACUGAACUUAAAUCUUAGUUACAUGCUUCCCAUUAAAAAUAUGAUCCAACCAGAAGGCUACAGUGAGUAUAGUUCAGUCAGAGAAAUUAAGAAAAUAUUCGUCAUUAACUGUCCAGGACAAAACAAUGACCUUGCAAGUCUCCUAUCUUAAACUAUGUUCAAAAAGUUCACGCAUGAGCAACUGCCAAGUUACAUCCCUUAGUUGCGCUCAUUUAGAGGUUUCAAACAACUUCUGGCAAACACCAAGAGUAACUGGAGAAGGGGAGGAAGGUUGGUUUACCUUGUUUGCAAAAUCUGGAAGGUUGGAAUGAGCAUGGUUCUUGAAAUAAGUGGUCAAAAGCUUCUUGUCAAGCUACAAGUAAGCAUAAAGCAGAACCUCCAAAUAAGCAAAGGUCAAAUACAACUGCAAUCCAAACCUCAAAGGGAUUAGCCUAGCCUAGCCUAGCUGACUAACAGUAUUGUCUUGACCACCCUAGUUUCAAGGACGUUACUUUCACUAGUUGAAAUCUAAAGAAUGCUAAAGGCAAAGCAUGAGGAGUAUCACUAACCUUGGACUCGUCCACCUUUAUUGGGAGAUUAGAAAGAUACUGGCCAGAGAGAGCAAUUUCAAUCUCCUCAUCAGUUGCUAUUUUGAAGUUACUCUUUUCCAUCACCUGAGGAAAAACUCAAUGAGAAAUCUAAAAAAAGAACAAAAAGAAACAUAUUUUGUAUCUGUUGAAUAUCCUUUUAUUUGUUGGGCGAGAUGUCCAAGAACAGUCACUGUAGAAGGAAGGAAGGAAGGGGGGCGGAGAGAAAAAAAGCACCUGAAACAAAUAGGUAAGGAAAUUCUGUUCGAGUGUAAGGAUAUCAUCUGAAGUGAGGUGCUGUUGUUUCAAUUUCUCUUCUCCAGACACAGGGUCGAACAGAGAAUACAGUUGCUGAAAAAUCCAAGUUGGUAUCACAUUAGAAUGGAAAAAGAAAGGUAAUUUGAAGAGAGAAUGGGAAUAAAGGGGGGAGUUACCAUGAGAUCUUCAAACUGGAGAAGGUACCAGGCUCGAAUAGUGUACUCAACUCGCUUGCAGAGCUUAAGGAACUCGGCACGGUCAGAGCUGUGUUCUGCACAAAUUUCUCGAAUUUAGGGGAAACAGAGAGAGAGAGAGAAUGGAUACAUUUGGAAGGGAAGAGAGGAGGGAAUACCGAUGAGAUUGGCUAAGGGCAUGAUGAGCUUGGGGUUAAGAAUUGGGAUGAAGGGUUCCAUGGGAUGACGGAUUCCUUCUCCAGACGAAUUACUUCUCUUUUCGUGGCUGGCUUGUCGUUCGCCGGCGUCGGCGUCGGCUUGUGGGUAUUGUUCAUGAGGAGUGGAUCGUGGUCUUGUUUCUUCUCCUCCAUUUCAAAAGAAUCGGAGAAGCUUUUGAUGAUAUCAAUUGAUUCCAAUUUACAGAAAUUGAGAACAGUAGCUGAAGGAGGAGCAGUGGUGUGUUUAGUUAAUGAUAAUAAUAAUAAUAAGGGGGAUCAUCCGCCAAGCGGUGGGAAUUUUAGGGAGUUAUAUGCUAAUAAAAUAUGCUUAAUUAAGACAAAACAGGACCAGUAACUGUCCCAAUCUAUCUCUGUCGUUAUGAGUCCCUGUGAGCGGUAAUUUCUUACUUUAAUUAAAUGCUUGGAUUUAUUGCAAUUUCUCUAUGGACAAUAUUUACAUACGGACUAUUGCAAUUUCUUCCUCCCUCUCUCUCUCUCUCUCUCUCUCUUGCGUGAAGCUGAUCAGAUUCUUGUUUGGGAGAAGAUUGGUAUCGUUGUUUGACUGAGUUACGAUAUUGUAUGUGAGUUUUGUUCACAUCCGGUAUGAAACCAAACGUUUUCUAUUUUUCCUUUGAAUUAUACUCAGCUAUCUAUGCAUCUUAUCUCAAUCUUUAGUCAAUCUAAAGCCUCAAAGUAGGCUAAUUACAAAUUAAUCUCAUGAACAAAUUGAAUACUCCGUCUUGUUUUGAGAAAUCGCGAACACUUUUAAGUAUAUAAAGCUUAUGGGUUCAGCUGGAAAUUAAAAUCAGAAAGUUCAUCUGCCCCUUACUGGAAUCUAUAGCACGGAAGGAUUUGCAGAAGAGAGAGAGAAAGGGAGAGGAAGACUGGAGAGAGAAAGGGAGACUGGAGAGGAUAAAAAUAGUUAAUACCGUUAAUUUUAUUUACCAUUCAAAUAAUUAAUAAAUUAGGAAAAAAUAAAAAAUAUGUAGCCAAUGGGAUACUACCACGUGGGCUGGGCUGUAGGAAUCCCUACAACCAGACUCAAGGAAGAAAAUAAACCAUCUCGAUCGUUCGUGAUCUUUACUUUGGCAAUUGAAAGACAUUAACUUUUGCAAGUUUACAUUUCUAUUAGGCUUUGGCAAUGGGGUGGGUGUAUUUAUAUUCAUCCCCAUAUUUAUUUGUAAAUUGCAUCCCUAUUUAUGUUUCCAUUUUCAUUUGAAUAUUAAUAUUUAUAUUCAUUUUUAAAUUUAUAAAUCUCUACACAACUUAAUUAAAAAUCAAAAAAAUAAGACUACUACAUCAUCUAAAUCCAAGACAUAAAUACAAAAUAAUCUCACAAACAAGUUCAUUAUCUUUAUUAUAGAUUUAGGGUUAUGUUUGGUAACUAAUAUGUAAAGACUUAGAGGUAUUUUUAUAUAUUGAGUAGGGUAUGGGUAUGGGGCGGAGUACCUAAACUCAUCCCCGUUCUUUUUUGCGGUAUUCCCCAUACCUAACCCGUGACCCGUUCAAUGCGGGUAUUCCCCGUUGCGAUCGAAUCGAAUAGGGUCGAAUACCCGUGGAUACGAAUAAAAUUGCCAAAUCUAAUUUCUAUAUAAAGAUAUAUAAUAUAUGCGUUACAGCUUGUACAAUAUAUUGUUCUAUUUACAUCGCGGCCUAAUGAAUUACUGUAUAUUCUAUGGAAUUUACUUCGAAGGAAUUCGUGCAUAUCCUAUGGAAUUUACUUUGAAUGGGUAGUUCGAUGAUGCCUAUGUUAAAGACCGAAUAAAAAAGUCCGAAAUUUUUGUAAAUUAAUAUAGGAACACAAAGCCUAAAAAGAAUAUGUAUAUUAAGGUGGUUCAUGAAAUCAUCAAUUUUGAAUUAGAUCAGUGUAAUCACCUUUUUGCACAAAUAAUUAGGCAUUAUUGGGGUGACCCGGGCCUUCACCAGGUUGCUGUUGCUAUUGCCAUUUCCUGUUAGUGCAUUGGUUGGGAAGGAGGCACGUUAUCAGCUAAAUAAGAUUUGAUUCUAUGGUCAUCAACUUAUGAUAUUGGAGUUUUACUCUCGACCACGAUAUUUUAUCUUACAGCACAGCAUCACCACAGCCUAUAAUAACUCUCUCCCGAGGAACAAGCAAGAAACAAUGGAUCAAGUAUCUUUCACAGUUCCUACAAGUCUCCACGCGAGUUACAAUUACGGUAGCAAACAAUGGUAUGUAAUGAUGCUACAGGUGACUGCAAAUUGUACUCAUAAGCUGUGACCAUGAACAGCUACAACGUCUGCCGUACAACACAAUGAACACAUUCCAAAACGAUAACAGUUGAUAACAGGGAAUGUCUCUUCCUCCAAGUCUUCGGGGGCAUUAUCUACUUGAAAGCAGCACAAUCAUCGCAAGCAACCAAAGGUAAAGAGUUCAACCGAUCAUUAACUUAUUGUCCUCCAAAAAGGUAUAUGUCGGCACCUCCAAGUUGUACGGUGCAGGCCCCUUGCGUAUCCUUCCAGAGAUGUCGUAAUGAGAUCCAUGGCACGGGCAAAACCAUCCACCGAAAUCACCAGCAUUUGGCAAAGGGAUGCAACCCAGAUGUGUGCACACCCCGAUCACAAUCAGCCACUCCGGGUCCUUCACCCUGUCCCCAUCUGGUUGUGGAUCACGAAGAGAUGCCAACUCAACACUGUUUGCUAGUUUGAUGUCAUCCUCAGUUCUUCGCCUGAUGAAAACUGGUUUCCCACGCCACUUUACCGUCACCGUAGUGCCCGGUUCGAUGCUGGAGAGAUCAACCUCGAGUGAGGCCAAUGCAAGCACAUCCUUACUGGCAGACAUACUGAGCACAAAUUUGAGGAUGAGGAGACGGAUCAAGGAUGCAUAUACAAAUCUUCCACCAGAGAGCACGAAAUAGGCGAAUGCCCGCUUGCUAGGAUCGCCAGGUGGCAUCCGCUCGUGGUUGUAUUCAUCAUAAACUAUCUUAGGUGAAGGAUUCUUAAGAGCAUGCGUAGUUGCUAAGGUGCCAGGCUCUAGACCAUCCCCUUCUUUUGGGGCAAGCGAUCCAGAAGCAAAACCUGAUAGUAAAAAUAGUCAACAUAUAAGGUUAUGUGGCCAUUUAAUCGACCAUCAUAUACAGACACAAAAAGAACAAGUUCUAUCAAGUGAGAAGACAGGUAUAAAAAAACCAUUGUUCACCAUGACUCCGGAUUGAACAUAAAACUCAUCUAGGAUUCUCAAGCUUUAAAAGAUCAUUAAGUAAGAAAUGUAACCUCUACCUAGGAAGUGAAAAAUGAAAAAUACCAACUAAGGAUUCCAUAAUAAGAACAAACUGAAAGCAAGUUGGGCUGGAAUGGAGCCAUGUCCAAACUCUAUUUUCUCACAUCCAAUUCACAAAGACAAAGUCAACGAGUUCGUAGUCAUCCUGAAAUGACUACCACCAGGACGCGAAGAAAUUCAAAACCCUAACUUCAAAUCAGAAGAGAAAUGAAUCAACACAUUACACAUGGCCAACAACAGCCGGGGAGGAGCGCCUAGGCGGCCGCCGCGGGUUCGGCAAGGCAGAAAGAAAACGCCCAAAUUAGUGCGAGGCGGCCUGAAUAAGGCGGAGCUGCUCGGAAUCGACGCGGAAUUGACGCCGCGAGCGCCUCCUCGGCGCCGACACGGAAAAGGCGGACAGCAGGCGGUUUAUAAAAAACAAACAAAAAUAUAAAACUAACCUAAAUAGGCGGACACCCGACUCCAAACCUAGCCUUCCGCCCGCCAUUCUCACCCAUCAUCAACGAUUGACGAUUGACGCCGAGAUUGAAGCUGUCGCCGACUCACUAUGCCACUGCCGAGCUUCCCACCGACGCCGAGCUUGCAGCCGGUCCUCACUCCGACGCAGAACUUGCAGCCGGUCCUCACCCCUCCUUCCAUCUCCUCUCUGUGCAGAGGAUUGACGCCAAGCCUGCCACCGCCGGUCCUCGCUACUCCCUGCCGCCGCCGACGCGUACCACCGAACCAAGGUGAUUGUUUCACCUCUUGUCUUCUCAAAUGGGUGGGAUAAAUGGCUGGAAUUUUAUACCGAUGUCUUCAUUUGUGUGGGAUGACAAAUUUAUUUCAAGAAUUUUAUAACGAAUGGUUUUGACUGGUGUUGGUAUUGGAUAAAUGGCUGGAAGGAAGUGCAGUUCAGUGGGAAAGUAGUUAAAAUAUCCCUUGCCUCUCUUGUAGAUUAUUUUGUUUGAGUUGAUGUAGCUUGAUUUUGAUUAUGCAGCUGAGAAGGAAUCUGAACUGACACACUGACAAAUAAUAAACUACUUGCAAUUGCAGGCUUUUAUUUUCUUGUUGGCCCUAGUGGUAAGAGCAGUUAACAGACCGGUAAAGUAUAUAGUGAUGAGGACUCAAUCAACUAGUAUGUAUUUUUAUGCUUUUAUUCUUAUGCCUUUAUGGUUUAUCUUUCUGGUUGGCCCUAAUGAUAAGAGCAGUUAACAGACCAGUAGAGUAUGAUAGUGAUGAUGAACUCAAUCAACUAGUGUGUAUUCUUAUGCCUUUAUGGUUUAUCACACGUGUGUAUUCUUCUACUCUUCUACGUACAACUUGAACAUUGUUAUUUUGAACUUUAUCAAUAACAAAAAUAUAACCCUGUAAACUUUGCAUUGUUAUACUUGAACUUGCCUAUUUCACUUAAAUCUAUUACAUUUUUCCAAAAACGCCUAAUCGGCCAAGGCGUAAGGGAAGACCUCACCGCCUUCCACAACCUUGACAACAGCUAAGAAGAAACGAUGAUCCCCACGAAUCAAGCUCCAAAACUAGAAAAUUUAGACAUUAGAUGCCAUUUCUGACAUAAUUACCGAGGAAAUUCUGGAGCUUGAAAGGCAUCAAAUUAAAAAUGAGCUAAUUAAGAAAAUGAAAAAAGGAGCAUAAAGGUAUCGAAAUAGGGUGGAAAGCGAUCCAAUAAUUAGAGGAAGGAAACCCUAACCUCGACGAGGAACAUGGAAAGCAAAGUAGUAGCUGGCCAAGCGGUCGGGCUUCAUCUCAUCAGACGAAUCAUCCAAAGCCCCGCGAAGAGGAUUCCGCGAGCCCACCGCGGAGGCAGCCUGGUUGGUUCUCAACGACGGUGAAGACAGAGAUGAGAGGCGGCGCAAUCCAACCCUCAACAUCUUCUUCUGUUACUGUUAGCCUCCUGCAAGCUCCUCCUUAACUCUAGGAUGCUAUAUCUCCUCCGGCUUGCGGCUGGUCAAGAAGUUCGGAUUUUGGACUUAUUCCAACUCCAGACUCCGCCGCUUCGCUCUGCAAAAGUUGGAGCGAAACUUUUUCUCUUAUUUUUUUUUUCUGGGUUCAACGAACGGAGCAUCGAUAUCGAUAUACGAUAUUCGAUCUGAUUUACUUGCCUAUUUCUCCGGCUCAGGUUGUUGCCACAACAUCAGUUAAGUUAUCAGCCGGCUUUUUCUAAUGGGCUCAGCUCUCCAAGCAAGUUUGGCCCAUUAUGUUUCCAUUUAAUUGGCCCAAGCCACUGACAUCAUUUACAACAAGGCGGAAAAGCGAGGUGACGGAGACGACGAGGGAAGAGCCACUCGCCGGCGAGGAUGGACGGUGAGCGAGGUGUAGAAGGAGACACCCCAAAAGAAGAGAGAGCUACAUUCGAUGAAUCGGAGAUAGAGUACGUGAGCUACGGCGGCGAGCAUCACCUACCGCUAAUAAUGGGUCUGGUUGAUCAGGAGCUGAGUGAACCCUACUCCAUCUUCACUUAUCGCUACUUCGUAUACCUAUGGCCCCAGCUUUCCUUUCUGGUAAAAUUUCAGCUGAAUCGAAGUUCUUCUUUCGUGCAAUUCAUUUCAAUUGUAAUUUGAGAUUUUGAGAGAUGGGAAGUUCCUUCCGGCAGGCGUUCCAUAGAGGGAGAUGUGUUGGGACGGUGGUAUGCAAAAUGGGGGAGCAUCGUAAUACUACUUUCAGAGGGUACAUAGCAAUGCUGGUUGUCAUCAAGCCUUAUCGGGGCAAAGGCAUUGGUAAAACCAUAUUCAUUUCACUAUCUGCCAGCAUUCUAGCUUUCAAUUGACAUGCUUUUCUUUCGUUAUAUCCAAGAACAAGGGAGAGGAAAUAGUUUUAGUGCGAUGAGAUAUGCUUGAUUGUGGAAAUGAUGACUUGUUGACUUUGAUGUAAUAUGAUAGCAAUGCUUCAAGGUCUCUGUUGCUAUGUUUUCAUACCUUCUGCUUGUUGUCACAGUUUGGUUAUGUGUUGUUGCAGCUACUGAACUUGUAACCAGAUCGAUCAGAGCAAUGAUGGACUCCGGAUGUGAAGAGGUAUAGAGUAUAGACCCUUUGAUUUGCUCCGAUGGUGUAAUCACUGUGUUCUCUUUUGCUUGCAGUGUGCCUAAUGCAGUAGUGUAAUUAGCAUUUUAUCGCAUUUGUUCUUACAAUUUGUUAAUGAGCCUCCAAGAUAGCAUCUUUACAACUCGUAGUUUUACCAGUUUUGGCAAGAUAGCGCCUUUACGUUCUUGAUUGAGGAUCUAUUGCAUGUAUCAAGUUUGUGAUAUUAUGGCGUAUAUGCCUAAUGAAGAAACAAUGUCUGGUUGUCAUGUUUACGACUAUCCAAGUGGAGUGCUGAUUCUAUCAAGUUGCUUUGAUUGAUCUGUAGGUAACACUGGAAGCAGAAGUAACAAAUAAAGGUGCUCUUGCACUUUAUGGCAGACUGGGGUUCAUCAGGGCGAAACGACUGUUUCAUUACUACUUGAAUGGAGUAGACGCUUUUCGUCUGAAAUUGCGGUUCCCUCAACUUGAGAUGAACCCAUCUGCCAUUAAUUUUCUGGACGAGACACAGAGAUGAGGCCAGAUGGAUCCCAUCGUUCCUUGUAAGUGUAUGCAGAAGCUGUUUCAGGUUCUUUUUGUAACAUUAUUAUACAACAAUUGGAACACUCAAAGGCUUUAUGUUGAGGUGAAUUGAAAAGACUUUUAGUAAUUCCCAAAAUAUCAUGAGAUCAUAUGAUCAAAUGUCUGUAUCUCGACAAAACACUGUUAUGACCUCGUCCCUCAUAUACUUGCUGCGAGCUAGAGCGCAGAGAACAAUAGUAUCAUAAAUGCUGUUGCUAGUUUGUUUCAGAUUUACACUUCACUUAAAGAUAAGCUACCACCAGAACAGGCUGAUACAAUCCGCUGCUAAUACAAGCGCUUUCUGCAAUCAGCUCCACCGCAAUAGCAUGCAAGCCGUUUUAUGUUGCCAUCAGGUCCCAUUACACUAUCAAGCACAUACCCAUAGUCAUACGUCAGCUCCUGCCAAGCAAAAACACAGAAUCAGAAUGUGUUAGUAAACCCAGGAUGGGGCAGUGAACAGAAACGUAUAUCCACAAUAUGCAGAAGUUAGCAGGUCUCACCUGCAAAGGAGGAAUGUUGUCGGCGGCAAACAACACUACACGGGCAAGCCGAACAUCUUGAUGGGAGCUUAGGACACACUGGACAAACAGAUUCGGACUGCAGCUAUGGUUAAUGAACCUAGCUACAUUUCCACUGGGACCUGCAUCGAUGCAGAACUCAGGUCCACUGUCAGAUUUUGACUCCUCUAAUGCAGUGCCUUGUUCACCAACUGGCAGUGAUACAUCACGUAAACGCCUCUGUUUGGACAAAAGAAACAGAGCAUUAGUAAUGACUGGUUAACUUGAUUGUAAGGAGCGUGAUCAGGAAUCGAAAGGGUUAGGUUUGUAGAUAACAAUUCUGUGAAAAAAAAAACUGCAGCCAGAAAUUUGGUAUCAAUGUACCUCCCUCCCUUCCAACCCUCGCAUCGUCUGUAAGCAGUCGAUGUCAAAAAUAUAAUCGUUUACUGUGAGUGAAUCAACAUCUUCUGUUUUCUUGAGCACUCCAACAUACUCACAAACCGGCGACCCAGAACGAAUGAAAUCCCAUGAUCUCACAGCCCAGCCCUUCUUAGGAGUGCGGAACACCUGUUAAGAGAUUGAGUACAAAUUCCAGAUCAGAUUCCAUUGUCAAGACCAAAAAUUGGAAGUGAAUUAGACGGACAAUCGAAACCUCAAGACGAUGCCUCAGUCCCCUCUGAGAUGUUCUGUUAACGCAGCCUGGUCCACAUCCGCAAGAUGGACCACAUUCAAAUACAACAUCCCGUGCCUCAAUUAGCCUGACCACGGGUAAAUAAAAGUAUUAACAGUCUAUGCUACAACUAAGACGUAAAUUAAGCCAGAUUAAUCAUGCCAAACAAUACUACCUGCCACCAUCGCGAUGCACAUAUGGAAAAUCUGAGCCGUUAAGCUUUGCACAAGCACAUGUCCUGGAAUCCACACAGGUUCCUUUGCAAUUGCAUCCGGCAGUGUUUGUUGGGAGCUUCACAUUCUUGGAUACUCGAAUAGACUUCAGAUAAGUGAAACCUGAAUUUUACCAUCAAUAACAGGAAAGAAGAGGCUUAACUUUUCCUGAUGCCUCUACAGGUAUUUAGCAGGAUUUUAAACUACCACUAGAAGAAGUGGAUUAAGAAGAAUGCUCAACGAUUGACAUAUGGACACAAUUGCAGAAUAUACGAAGUUUCAACUUGCCUGUUGGCGGAACAGGUGGAUCAUCAA